UUUUUUUUUUUUUUUUUUUUUUGGGUUUUUUUUUUUUUUGGGGGGGGGGGGGGGGGUGUUGUUGAUUGGAGGAGCGCUGAUAGAACAUGGAAUUGACGAGUGUAAUAAGCGAUUAAUAAAGUGUAUGGCUAUAAAAAAAAACUCAGGCAAAGGAAGAUAGCAGACGAUCAACAAAAAUAUGUUACCCCUGACCCAUAUGAAAGUACGAGAGAGUCUAAACUCUCAUGCUUGAAAGCAAAAAAAUUCAGUACAGAAGUGUGAAAGAAGUACAAGCAAGAAGUGCCAAGAAAACAGAUUUGCUAGUUACAGAGCUUGGCAUUCUGCCGUUGUCCUUUCUAAAGAAAAGAGCAUCAAACAAAGGUAAAUUGAUUACAAUGAAAGCCCCGCAAAGAAGAAUCUGCAAAGCCAUGGUUUCCCAAAGAAAGCUGAGAGAUAAAUUGGCCUUCAGUUUCAUUAGUAUUCCUGUCAAGCAAAACAGGUUGAGCAGUGCCAAUGUCGAUAUAAUGAUAAACAUUGGUGACGUGGUUCCAAACUCCAAUAUCUCUUCCCCGUAUCUCUUGGAGGCAUCCUCAUCAGAGACUUUGCUUGAGAUGACAAAUUUCAGGUCAGAAAAGCCUAGCAACUUUAAGAUUGUAUCCACAAAGGCUAACAGGUAAGAGCUGGUUCUUUUGUAAAGCCACAUUCUCUGUUCAUUCCACCAGCCCAGAAAUGUUCCGCCUGACAAAAGAAACUCAACAGCACUGUAUAUGUGCUCCGCGAUGAUAACAUAAGCAAAUGGAAGAAACCAUACGCUUGAGACCUGGAUUCGAAAGAAACAUAUCAACCAUCGAUUGAUAUUUGAUACAAAUUAAGGAAAAAAAGGGUAAGGGGCCGGUUGACUAUAAUAGUACGUGUAAAAAUUAGAGAACUAUGUACCUGUGGAAAUAAGGGAAUGCCUUUGAGUAGAUGAAGGGAAGGGAUGAUGGAGUAAUACAAUACCGCCACGCAAUUAGGAGACCAUAAACAGUAAAUUAAGUACCCCAUUGUAAGGCCAAUGUGAAUCCUUCCCAGUCCAUACCAUGCUGGACUGUACUUUGAAAGCAGAAUUUGUAGAUCACCCUCAGACCAUCUCUUUUGCUGCACAAGUAUCUGAUCCAAUGUCGUCCCUGCAACACCCAAAAAUGCUGGCCUUUCUGGAUUAGGAUAGACUGAUUUCCAUCCUUGGCAUUGAAUGGACAAACCAGUUAUCACGUCUUCAACUGGACACCCAUACUUUAAACCCAUCUGUAUGCCAAAAUAGUUGCUAGUGUCAUAAUAAUGAAUUUGACAACACAACAAAAUUAAUAAUGUGGAUAUGUGUAAGAACAAGACCUCAUGCCCCCAUUCAGUAUUUUGCUCGUAUGUACAGCUUGCCAGGCUCUUAAGUCUUUCUUCCAGUUCAUGCACAUUGCCCAUCUUGCACUCAUUCUGUGUCUUCAAAUCAAUCUUAUAACACUUGCUGUACUUUCUUCCACUCAGGAUUUCUCUUCUCUGAAAGCAUCCACUUCCAAUAUAUGGUGGACCUCCAAAGGCAUCCAAACCGUGGAAUUCCACCUUAAUUACAGAACCAGGGUCUUUUUAAGAUAUUGAAGCAUAACAUGGACUGACUAUACUGGUCAAGUAUGACAGAGUUUAUAAGUAAAUUAUCUACCUCUAUAGUAGCUUAAGAAUUCACGCAAUGGGGUAAUGAAACAAUAGGCAAGGUUAAUGUACACAAGCAAGAACUUCUAUGUUAUUCUACUCACCUCUCUACCCGCUGUCAUUGAGUUAGCGUACAAAUCAUUCUUAGUAAUGUUCUUGAAGAUCUGUGGAAACUGGACGUAAGCAAACUCGUGGCCUUUUUCCUCAUCCAUCAAGAAACAAAGAGCAUCUCGUAUUGAUUGUGAAUCAUUUGAGUACAUAUCACAGUCCACAUUUAGGAUCACUGGUCCAUUGCUGAUCUCGGACGACACCCUUAUCUGCAUUAAGCACAAAGUGUCUAUAAAUAUCUCACACGGGAUUAAUAUUCUAAAAAUCUUUUGGGUAUCUCAUAGGAGACAUGAGGGUAAAAAAUUAGAAAACUUAUGGAGAAGGAUUUUCAAGUCUAAAAUAGUUAUUGAAACCAACCCAGCAGAAGGACCGGGUUGGCGGAUCAGUGGUUCAACUGGCAGGUCAUUGAUUGAACCGUCGGAUCAAACUAUAUAAUAAAACAAUAUACAAUAUAAUUAAAUAAACACAUAAAUUAUAAUAAAAUUACAAAAAUUCUUAAAUAUUAACAAGUCAUAACCUAUUCAUAUUUCAUAGUUCAUACACACAAGCCAUACUCAUAUGUGUUUCUUAGUUCAUGAAUUCAUAUUGAUAUUAUAUACAAACAUAAAUGAUAAAUCUAAGUGUCAAAAAAAGAAAGAAACCCUAAUUCCCAAAUCCCUUUUCAGUUUUUCUCAUCUAACUGUCAAAAAGACGACAAUGACUAUGUUGAUGUGACUGGUCAAAUUAAAUAAUUAGAUAAAAGAUAAUUUCAUAAAAAUUUUUAAAACCCGCCGGGUAUAACGGAUCACAAGUUCGAUCGUUCGCACAAAACGGUUUAAAACGAGUCAUCUGCAACCAUGAUCCAGUUGCUAAACCGGAACGGUUCCAUGAUCGGUUCACCGGUUUGAUCGGUUCAACUUCCGGGCUGGUUUAAUAACUAUAUGUCUAAUAGAUUUGAUUCGUUCAUUAAGACCAAGAAGUGUAUCAAGUAAUCGAGUUACCAAAGCAUUCAUUGCUCCAGCUUUGAAGUUGUGAAAAUGCUCGGGUCGCUUCUCCCUAGCCAAGUACACUAGUGUAGGCAAUUUACAUCCUGCAACAUCCCUUGCUUCUGGGUCGCUUCCAUUAACGAGAAUCUGAUGAAACAAAAUAAGCACCUCUCAGCCAAAUAAGAAGUAGAAAAUGUGUUGCUUUAUUGAUCUGAGUAGACUGUGUAGUCGUAUAACGUAGAACCGAGGUUGUCCUGGCUGGAAAACCAAAAAGAGGGAAAAAAAUGCAAAUGUCUCCUUUGUAAUCUGAUCAUUUUAAUUGGGACGGUUAGUAUGAGUUCUACAUACCUGCAGGAUGGUAUCAUGAUUCCCCCGAGAUGAAGAUGAAUCCCACAUAGCAAAGCCUUUGUGUUCUGAUUUAUCGGGUAUUUGUCCUAGUUUGUUUGCAAGCAGAACCUUGUUCUCCAGUUGUUCAUAUAAUUUCUGCAAUUUCAUCAGCACAAAAUAAGAAGGCUAAUUAACUGAUGAGUUCCAAAUUAAUAGUGUCAGGCAUGCUGAAGAGCAAUAUAUCGGUAAUGCAGCAUAACUGCAUGAACAGUCUCAUGGCAACCAUGAGACACAACUAGAGAUUUUUUUUUUUUUUUGGACGGGGCUUACAUCUGCAUCUUGUGUCUUAUGUUUUGUUAUCAAUUGGCUCUUUAAUAGCUAUAUCAUGUCAUCAAUAUCAUAACUAAGGGAACUAAGUUGGUUGUGAUUGAGUAUAACUUCCAUCUGGACUUCCAUAUGAUCCAAGGUACCCCUAUAUAUGAUAGGAUUAUCAUUUUUUUUUCCUGUGGUUAGAUCAUUAUAUAUGCUGUGGCUGCCUAAUACUCCAACAAUGAAAUUGAUGUGUCGAAGCUCCUAAGGAAAUAAAUAUGAGGCAGGCCUAAUUGCAUUAUUGCAGUUGAAAGUAAAUUAUAUGAGCCCUGUGGACUUGAUUUUCCAGGUAGUCAUUGUCAAUGGUUCAAGGACGAAUAUGUUUCUUACCAAAUUCAAAUCUUUUUUGGACUUCUUUCAUUAUAAAAUUUAUUAGGACAAACAAUCUUGGUAGCUAGCUCGCUUGCUUUAUAUAUUUAUGAAAAAGUUGAACUUUCUUUUCAGCAUCAAGAAAACUGCAGUAUUUCAGGAUAUAUUAUCCUCAACUUGUCCACUGCCGUACUUAAUUGACCCAAACUAAUCAAUUGAAAAUCGAUAUGAAACUUAGCUUUUCUAUUUCUAGGUGAGAGAGACAUGGUUUCAAUGCAGAGCGGCCAAAUAGUUUUCCUCAGAAGUCAGAACUAGUUUGGUGCAUUUACCUUGAUUGAUGCAAAGUCUUUGGUAUGGUUUGCAUCCAAAAUUCGGGGAUCUGAUUCAAAGUAAGCUGCAGGAGACCUUGGCUCCACCUUGUAUUUCUUGCAAUAUGGUAGCCAAUGCUUAGAGAAAUAGGAAGCCUCCAGGAGUGCAUGGAAGGUAAGCUCCGAGCCACCAUCAUCAGAGAGAUAAACGCUGAGUUUCUCUGUUGGAUAAUCAUAUGCCAUUACAGACAAAACAGUAUUGAUCACCAUGAUUGGUGGCUCAACAGCAGGAUCAGCUGUGCAAACAAAUAUGUCCACUUUAGGCAGCUCAUUCUCGAACCUGCAAAGCACAUAGAAAAAACUCUGAAAUCCCACAAGACAGAACAUUCAAGACUCUAAAUUUUAGCGGUAUGUGAUCAUUGACGAAUCGACAAUCAUAAGAGUUUGAAGAACAAUGGGAACAAGAAGCCAAACCAAAAGCAUAGAGGAAGGAGCCAUCACCUACGGGAUAGCCUGUCGGUAAAGGUACGACGAUAUACAAGACUCCAGCGGACGGAUUGAGUGAUGAACCAGUAAAGGCCAAACCAAAUUUCAGCUCCAAACAUUCCAAUCCAAGCCCAUCUCCCAUCUUCUUGGGAUCUUGGGAUGUGACUUGCUCUAUAAAUCCAAAUCAAGAUAAUCCCAACAAAUAUGGAAGUAGCAAACAGUCUAUGAACUAUCCUACCCUUCGCCUUCUCCGUCUCAAAAAGAGGAAUAUACUCACUUUUACCAGUACCGCCACUUCCCAUUUCUGUUGUUUUCAAUAUCUCUUUCUUCACUGGUUUUUCGAACUUUCAGCUCUAUAUAUGUAGCAUACAUUAAGUUUCUAAUACCGCAGUAUUGGGCAGGCCGGGAGUUUUCAAAUAUUUAAUUAAAGCGCAGAGAGCCAUUUGAAUUCUUUGCCAUUAUAUGGAACUACUAUUUAUAUUACGCAGUUUUAUAAGACAGGAACAACCGCACACAGUUGACGAAGGCUGCUGGUGGGUUCCACUCCUACUGUAGCCUACUUUAGGGGACCCAUUGCCAGCAAUUAUUGCAGUGUACGUUACGUAAUGGAAUGCGCUAUAAGAGCUUGGGCUUGGGGAUGGCUGCCGGUGCCUGCCACAUAUAAAUCACUAGUGUACACGACUGGGGAGAGAAUGAAUUUGAUUGGAUUAGGAGUUAGGACACGAGUGGAUAAAAACCUGCAUGGCCUGAGACCGAUCCUCUGUGCCACUGUUCGGUGUCAAUCUCAUUUAUCACGUGAUAGUAGAAGAAAUUUAAAUAAACAGCACAUGACAAAUUAAAUAAAUAAGAUACUUGACAUAAAUAUAGAAGUGACAUUGAAUUAUCACCGGAAAAGUGACACUGAAGAUCCCGUGUGGAGACCUGACUCCCUGAUUAAACAAAAUUGUUGGUAUGAUUUAUUGUGAAAUUAUCAGUAUCAACAGGCACAAACAAUUUUGUUAUAGGAGUACAGUAUUUUAAAUUAAGGGUUUUUAUAACGAGUGUUGAUGAGCACUCUUUCAGAUACUUGUAUGACAUUUAAAUUCCCAUAUGUAAACACACACUCCAGACUAAGUUAGGUUCCUCUCCGUUAUACCCAAAUAAAUAUAAUCAUUUUAUUAUUUUUAAAAAUUAAGAACAUCCAUAUUAUACUUCUCUAGCUGUCUAAAGUAUGUACAAAAAUUGAAAUUAAGUUAGUUAAAUUUUAUGUUGGAUCAAAUUUUACAACUUUCAUCGUAACUUUAACCUGUUUUGCCCCGUCAAAAUGUUUUGUGCAAAUUGAAAAGCAAAACAUUCAUAAAAGAAUUUGAUUUUUGAGUAUGUUGAUUUAAUUGUGGAAAUAAAAUUACUAACACAAACAGGUUAUUGUGAAAAAUUCAAUUGUAUAAAUAUAAAAAAAAAAUGUAUAUAGAUAAAUGGAGAGAAAAAUAAUGGAGCGCUUAAAUUGUGACACUUUCUCGAAUUAACUUUCUCUUAUCGGAGUGCCUUAUGGGCGCAGGUUAGCCGAACCAUAAUUUAAAUUUUGAUAAGUAUUGUUAUAAUCAAAUACUCCUAUGUAAGUUAUCCGAAGAGAAAGCAAGUGGAUCCUUUUAAUGUACUAAAUUUUAACGUUUAGACAAAGGUACAAAAACAUCAAGAUAACGAGUUUAAUUCCUAUUCUUCUUUAAAAUUUUUUGAAAACCUUUAAAAUUAUUAAGUGUGGAGUAUUUGUUCGAUUUAUUCUGAUUUGAGUAAUCUUUGAGAUUGCUGGACUCAUUUACUGCCCAAUGUCAGGACGCUGUGAUGAAUCACCUCAUGGUUACUUUGCUUCACACUAACUUAUACACAUCAUCAAAUUCGCAGGCACACAUCCUACUAUAAACUCAGUAGUGUGAAAUUUUCUGUUACCUUUUUUAUCUUUUCCUUUCUCCAUUUUCUAAACACGGAGUUUUCUACCCCUUUUUGCAAGUGUUCUUAAAAUAUCUUCUUCGAGGUUUUUAUCAGAUAAGCACUUGUUCCGGAUUCGAAUUAACGAUCUGCUUCAUAAUUCCUUCCAUCCUUAAAAACGUUUAUCCGUCGCAUAUAUUUCCGCCACAAAUUCCCUCUGCAUCCUUUUGGUAGACCUACGUUCACGACCUGUAUAUACUAUCGCUUGACAAGCCAUGAUACAAAUCGCAAAGUUGAUGACUUUUUCUCGUCUUUUUUGCUACAGCCGAUACACACGCAGUUCUUACGAUAUCACAUUUUUAUUAGAACAAAAUUUUUUAUUCUUACCAUAAUAAACCAAUGCAAGAAUUAUUUGCGUUGCACAUCACAUCAUCUGCAUUCCCCAUCUCAAAGGCCCAAACGUAUUUGGAUUAUAUCUACCACAGAGGCCCCAGUUGACUAGUCUUUGUCUAACAGAGCGUCGCAGUCCACUUUUUUUUUUUUUUUUUUUUUGUUACUUUUCAUCAUAGACUAUUGAAGUGAGGCCGAAAGUCCAACCAAUGACUUAUUCCUCAGGCUCAGGUCUCGGUAUGCAUUUUUGGAGGAUGGCGUCAUGCUCAAAAUUUUCCCGUUUCAAUGCAAAUUGCUCAACCUUGCCCCUUUCGUCAAAUCCUAACAACUGAAGUGGGGUGUUUAAACAGAGUAUUAUUUGAAAUAAUUAAUAUAAUAUUUUUUUUUAUAAUGUAACAUAUGUAAAAUAAAAAAAAUAUUAAAAAUAUAAAAUAUAUAAAUUAUAAAAUAUAUUUAUGAUGCAAACGAAAUAUUAUUUUAUAAAAUUGAGAUAUUCGAAUACAUAGUAUCCGCUAAUACACUUUAAUUCAACUAGUAAAAAUAGAUCACUACUUAACAAAACAUCAUUGGGUAAUUCCAUUUUGUCCCCUCAAACUAUACACGGAAUCUCACUUGAAUCCCUGAACUUUAAAAUUGGACAUUUAAGUCCCUAAACUACAAAAUCUAACCCACUUAAAUAAAAUCCGUGACGGAAUCCAAAAAAUUGACAGUAGCUCAAGGAUGUGGGGGGCACGCUCCAUUAGUGUGUAUGUGUAAUUGUCAUAAACCAAAAAAGUAGGGAUAUAAAGGUAUUUUCACACUUUUUUUUUCAUUUUUUCUUUUUCCUAUUCUUCUUCAUCCCUUAUCUGCCGCCACUGACAUCUCCAGUCCUAUGCUUUUGUUCAAUGGCCUCCAAGCAUUUUUCAUCUUUCAUUUACCAAUCCAAAACUGUUUCAGUCAAAUCCCACUUCAUAUUCCAAAUCUUCAACCGUAUUCUAAAAAUCGUCGAAGUCUCACAAAAAACGUGUCUAAUCUGACCACUAAAUUUCUUGUCAAAUUCACUUCCAUGAAAUUCCUUUUUGUUGAAUUCGAAUUGUUCUUGGGGCGGCUGUGAUUUCUGCGAGAUCUGCAGUAGUACUCCUAAGGGACUGGUGGUGAAGUGGAAGAUAGACUUAGCAUUUGCUAGCGUCAUCCUGCUAUUUACAAGAACCCUGCUUCAUUUCUUACCAGAAUCCCACGAAAAUGUUGUGGUCAAAGACUCCAAGAAGCAAGGUGGGUGUAACGACCCCACCUCCCCCUAAGGCGUACCAAAGGGUUCGGCGGACCGCCUGCCCAGCUCUCGCCAGGACUCACUCACUAUCUCAAUCGAGUCAUGUACACACAUCCAUAAACUAUAAAUAACAUUCACAAUUCAAGCUUAUAAUUUACAUUGAUAGAAAUCGAGGUACAAAGUCUCAAUACACCAAACUAGUUCAAAACGUAUACAAUCCAAGUACAACAUGUUCCAUUCGAGGAAUAGCGCGAGUACAAGACCAAAAGUCAAAAGUCAAAACAAAAGGCUACGCUAGUCUUUUACAAGUCUCACGCGUCACUCGUACCCCCUGUAAGGAAAACAAAUAGCGUGGUAUGAGCUAAAAGCCCAGUGAGGUUCCAAAUAGCAAAUUGACCAUUAUUUAUAAGUACAAGUUUUCGAUAUAGGAAAGUAACGAGCAUGAAGAAUUCAUAAAAGUGAGCAAUCUCAAAAUGAGCGAGUGUAAAAGUUUUCAGAAGACACUAUAAUCCAAUAAACAAUAAUCAUUCCAAAGCAUAAGGAUACAGAUGGCUCUCAGGAGCCAACUUCCAUUCAUCAUCAGGAGCUUGAUCACAUAGUAGUUGACACUCCGUCAACUUUCAAGUAAAGGAACCAAUCCAGUAGAACACCACUUACACUACUCUCCGUCCACCAUUCACACCCCCUACUGGGCCCAAAAUCCUCAAUAAACACGGGUGGUAAUACUCGAGUAUACCGUUUAGUCGAGGAGAUAUCACUCCACUCGACAAAGCAAGAGACCCAGGGCUCGUUACCCAAUCGACCAAGCCCUUGCCGACCCGACUAGAGUAACUCGCCACAGGGUGUCUGGAAUUCCAGGAAGUGCGCGCAUCAUAACAAGUAUGUCAAGUCAAUUGCAACAAUAAACAAGUGUAUAUCAUGUAAGGGCAAGUGCGAUAAAGUACACUCUUGCCCUAACAAUUCACGCAUGUGACAUGUAAUCAUAUUGGCACGUAUCAAGCACAAGUAUCAAGUUCAAUUCAGUAUUUGAAAGCACUCACCAAAAGAUAUAGUGCUUUUACUGGUCACUUUCAGGUUAUACUCCGAGUUCGGAGUCCAAAUCUGCGAUAAAACUCAAUUUGAGAACUUUGAAACAUGACUAGAGUUCGAAACUUAGACGUUUCGUUCAAUAAGAAUCAAGAAAUUGAAAUUCACUCGGACAGUAGUCAUGAAACACUUGCUCGCUUUUUAAACGAUAAAAUUUUGUAACAUUUAUACUUGAAAUUGUCAUGUGAGUCGAGAGUACAAGGAAAACGUACUUCGAGCAAUCAUUAUUUCAUUUCCCAAGGGUACAAGUUUAGUCAAGUCCUAACGUUUAACACUCAAGAAACAUAAUAGCCAAAGUCCUCGCUAGUUCAAGUAUUAAGUACUUAACCUUCACCCAAGUCGAAAAUAUAGCAUUCUAGCCCUCGAGUAAAAAUUCGGGCAGCAUGCCCUUUGUGUUUACCUAAUUUUCCAGCCAUUUAGGCUUCAUUGUUUUUCUCAAACACAACCCAACAUCAUACAUAUUAGCAAUUUAUGUCAAGAGCCGUUCCAUAGGCUCACAAUAUCGUAAUAACAAGAAUUACAAUGAUAACAAAUGCAGAAAUUCAACUUAGCACAAGACAGAUUUGACGUACGAAUGCGGAAAUAACUUAUCCGAGGCUACGCUUAUCGGAUUAAGACGCAACCUAUGCCGUUUCGAACCUAAGAUACAGAGCUACAAUGUUCAUGAAGGUCACUUAGUCCAGUUUCUAAUGUAACUUGGUCAAAUUCUCGAAUUACUAAACCAGAAACCAAUUCGUCGGCUGUUUAAACGCAGAACACUGUAAUGGUCAUAACUCAGUGUACACAAAUCCGAAUCAGGUGUUCUUAGAGGCAUUUUAAAGAUAAUUCAGAACACUACAACUUUCAUGUUUUGGCCCAGAGCUAAAUCAGAAUGGAUCCUGGUCAAAAAUCGUGAUAAACUAGACUGAACUGAAGAAACGGACUGCUGGGAAAUACUUAAAACAGUAGGGGUAUUUUGGACUUUUCACGUUCUGCGUUGCUCCGAUUGAGCUAAAAUUUUGUAGGCACCUAUAAAAUGCCAUUCUAUACAACUUUUCUUCUUUGACCUAAGGCCAAAUCAGCCUCUAACAUACAGAUAAAAAUUCGGACAGAAUGUUGAGACAAUUUUCCAGAUUUUGGAAUUUUUGAGUUUCUAUUGCAACUUUCCUUAAUUUCUUGGUCCAAUCACUACCAAAACACCAUAUAACACCUCAAUUGCAACAUAUAAGCAUCAUAUAAUAAAUUGGGGCAGAAUUUCCACAAGCCCUAGUUCAUCAAAUAAAUUGGGGAAAACUACUAAAACAUGCUCAUCAUUCAUAAUCUCACCAUAAAAUCAAGUUACUAAGCUUAAUUAAACAAGAUUAGAAGUGAAACUUGGAGAGAUAAACUCUCUUACCUUGAAUAAAAGUCACCAAGAGUAGCACAAGCUCUCCCCUUCAAGAAUCACACCACAACUCACUAGCUAGUCACUAGAAAACAAGUUUAAUCGGUUCACUUCGCUCGAUUCCUCACUUAUUUGUUGGAUUUAGAGAUGAAAUGAAAGAUUUUCCCUUGGAGUUUCUCUUCUUGUUGUUCUAGGCCAGCAGCACCCAAAAUGAAGAAGAAAAAUGCUAAGUGUUGGAGUUAAAUGGUUGGGGUUUGUCUUGGGUAAGAAGCCAUGAGGUGGUGACAAGUGUCACCACCACCACCUCUUUUUUUUUCUCUCUUUCUUUCUUGCCUUUCUUGGCCACUAAUUUCGGUCAACCUUGCUGCAAUUUAAGAAGAUAUUAUGUACAAAAGUCAACAAACUUGUUGGGUAAGAAAAAUGGUGGUCAAGCAGUGCGUUCAAUCGGUAAUACGCGGGACCCGCCGGAUCGCGCCGUUUUUCUUAAAAACUCACGUACUAGGUUUUUCACUUCCCAUUCACUAACCUUAUACCAUUGCCACUAGUCACAUCUUAUUUCUCACUUAAAAGUCACUUUUAAUCCCCAAAUUAAUUCUUACUCUGUACCGAAAAUUCAUCCGGUUAAAAUUCGCGAAAACCCUAAUUUCGCUCCAAACUUGAAACCGAAGCGUAAAACCCUAUUUUCUAGGUUUACUUACACUUAGAGUGAAAUAUUUGGGUAGUGGCCUUUGAUAAAUACUAAUUUUCAAAUAAAAGGGUAUUUUGAGGAAAAAUACGAGGAAUUUGCGAGUCCUCACAGUGGGCUUAUUGGUGCUGGUGGCGGUGAGCUAGUUGAUGUCAAGAUAAUUAAGGGAUUUAGUGUCAAAAACUUUUCGGAUGGAAAGGCAGCCAUCAAAUACUGGUAUGAGCCACUUCUUAAGCUGCCAUAAUUUGGAUUUGGGAUGAGGAGGGCUAGUCUGAUAAGGUACAAGCAAUAUUGGGUUGGUGAUGGGUAACGAAGAUGAUGAUCUCUUGGUAGCUAGAGCAGCUUUUCAAGGGGAUGAAGAAAAGGUUUCUGGUGAACCUACAGCAGAAUUGUUAAGCAAGAAGAAUUGUGGAAGAGUCUCUAAAAACACCUCCACUGGAGGUUGCAGGAUUGGAGUUUCCUGGAGGAGAUUCGGAUCUGUCCUGGGUUCUCAUCAAAACUUGCUCCACCAUGUCCUUAUCUGCACUAGCAGACUAGCUCACCUAGUCCAACAUUCUAAAGCUGCAGCCAUGGCUUUUGUACAAGUAGAACUGGAACCAAAAGCCUAAUAGCAUCAGUAUCAUGCCGUAAGCAUAGACAUAUAAGAAUAGAAGCUUUUGAAGAUUGUUAAAGUUUUGUCUUUUGGAGAUAUCUUGAUAAUAGUAGCAAUAGGAUUGGAGCCGUCAGUGGUGGCAGAUGAGGGAAGAAGAAGAAUAGGAAAAAGAAAAAAAAGAAAAAAAAAAAAAGGAAAGAUGAGGGAGAAGGGAGAAAGGGAGUAAAAUUACCUUUAUGUCCCUAUUUUUUUGGUUUAUAACAAUUACACGUAGACACUGAUGGAGCGUCCCCCCCCCACAUCCUUAAGCUACCGUCAAUUUUUUGGAUUCCGUCACGGAUUUUAUUUAAGUGGGUUAGAUUUUGUAGUUUAGAGACUUAAAUGUCCCAUUUUAAAGUUCAGGGAUUCAAAUGAAAUUCCGUGUAUAGUUUGAGGGGACAAAGUGAAAUUAACCCAAAUAUCAUGUAUUCGAAUUUUACUGUCAACGUGAGAAUAAGGGUGUUGUGUUAGUAAUCUAUCCGUUAAAACCCUUACAAGCGACGCAUGGUCUCGGCAAAUAUAUCUUGAUCAAUAAUGAUGAUUCAAACCGUACCUAUCAAACUUUUUAUUAUUCAAAAAUAAAUAAAGUGCGAAACCAAACGCAGCGUGCAACUUUUGACCAUGACAUCCUCCCGUGGGGCAGUUGACAAUGAUUUAUUUUUUUUUUUUUUUUUGGGUCGGCUGAAACUCAUAACCCACUAAACAAAUUCAACAUUGGCAACUCGAUCGGUUGUCAGGCUGCCUUCUGCAUGUUACAGUUUCUCCAUGUUCAUUUUACUACGUUACAUUCCAAGAAUAAACAUUCUUUACGAGCUCAAAAUGUCAAGCUCAAACUCGAGCUCGAAAAUAAAAAAAUAAUUAUUACUUUUAUUUUUAAAAAUAAAAAAUGAUUAUUUUAUUUUUAAAAAUAAAUAAAAUAAUAAUUUUUUUAAUAAAUAGUAAAAUAUUAAAAAUAUAUAUAUGUAAUUUCAUUAUUAAAAUAAAAAAUAUAUAUAUAAUCAAGCUAACGAGCUAAGGAGUUUAAUGUUUUUGAGCUCGACCUAAUUAGCUCAAGCUCAACUUGAGUUCGAUAUUGACCGAUCUCGAUCACGAGCAUAUCAAUUCGUGAACAGCCCUACUCUGAUACACAUGGGGAAAGAAUUUUCACGUCUUACAUUGAUUUGGAAGUAUACAUGAUACACCCAUUGUGCUAGAUAGGUGAUUAUUCAAAAUUUUCAUAUCCAUACAUAUUUAGUAUCAAUUUUUUUUUUGUAAGAAUUUUCACGGCUUACAUUGAUUUGGAAGUAUACAUGAUACACCCAUUGUGCUAGAUAGGUGAUUAUUCAAAAUUUUCAUAUCCAUACAUAUUUAGUAUCAAUUUUUUUUUUGGUUACCAAGGAGAGCUAAGCAGCUCAAUACAUAGAUACUAUGCGGGGUGGUAACCCCCAUGAUAUCCAAAUUCAUCCAUCUCCAAACUACAUUCGGUGGAUUCUGUAAACAAUACAACCCUGGCUCUUUAUUGAGGCUAUCUUUAGCUAAGAAAUCCGCACUAUUGUUUCCUUCUCGCCAAAUAUGCGAACCACUUACCUCCCAUUCCUUGUGUCUCCACUAAUCAAUUUGUUUUAGCAUAUUAGAGUAAGGGCUCAAUUCAGGUGUCUUGUCCAGAAGCAUAGUUGCAGCUUUUGAGUCUGUUUCUAUAAUCACUCUCUUGUGUCAUAUUUAGUAUCAAUUAUCUUCACUGUCUGCUAUGCUAAUCAGCUGGAUAAUAACAGCAGUGUUUGUGAUGCAAGCAAAAUAGCAGCUUAACUACUACUAGUAUUAAGAAAACAACGAUGAUCUUCAGGCUAACACAAACUAAGAACAGGCAAAAUUAGCUAAGACUACAACAUCGUUAACAGGCAAGCACAGACCAUGGGCCUAAUUAGAUUAGCAGCAUCCACAACACAAACAUAUAGUUCCUAGAUUUUACCUCUAGCCUUCUGGUCCCCUCCCUUGAGCAUAAUUUGACAACCAGAUAUGCGUUCAAUUCCAAAGUGUAAGGGAUAGCCCGAUUGAUCAACCCUCAAGUAAGAUCAUUUCAGCACAUACAGGCAAAGAAGAGCCAUGUCCGUCAAGCAGAGCAGUCUGUUCUUGCCCUUUGCAAUAUUAAACCAAGGAAACUAUAUGAACAGCUUUCCCCAACAAAUCUCAAGCAUGAAAUUUAAUCACUAAUGAACCAACACACAUACUCCUAUAAGGAAUUUGUGUUGUAAGAUAUAAAGGACCCAUAAAAAUGAUACACAUGAAUGCAUUAAUCAAUCUAAACAACCAUCAUCCUGAUGACAUAUAAGGCACAAUAAUAUUUUGUAAGAGAACCAAAAUCUGGUGCCAAUGGACUUGCUUACAGAUAACCAACAAGCAAAAAUAAAAUGGUACUACUAAAUACGAAAAAAGUUGAAAGAUGAUCCCCAUUACUAACAAUAAUGGCAAUUUCCAUUAAUGUUUACCAUAAGCUGCAUGAAAUACGCAGCACAAUAUCAGCUACCAAUCCUUACAUUAAAGACCCCCUUAUACAUACACAAGGGAAGCAACCACAAUUUUUACAGUACAAUACGACCCAGGCGAAGACCAUACUUCGCCUUGAGAAUGCACCAUCUUUCACACUCUUAUGUACAACAAACUGGAAAUUUGGUAUAACCCCAAUUCAAGGAACAAAACACCAAACACAAACAGGUUAUCACUAUCUGAAGUCUGAACUAAACCAGCAUGAAAUUCUUCUCUCUUUUUUUAUUAUUCAUUUUCUAUUUCAGAUAAUUCAAUAGCAGCACUCAGGGCAACGAAUCAAGCCGUUCUCAUUGCACUCCGGGCACCGCUUAAGUUGCUCAUCAUCCUCGUCAAAUAUUUUACGACUUCCGCUACAAUUUGAGCAGGGCACGAACCUGGCAUCCCCACAGCCUUCGCAAAUAUACCCUAACCCAGGCUUUACUGCUCGAAUAGGCAAUCCUUUGAGCAUUUUGGCGAGCUCGCCCGCCUCAUUCAGCUGCCUCACAACAUCAGCUCCACCAAUAUACUUCCCCUUGACAAACACCUGAGGUAAACUCACGGUUUUCUCCCCCAAAACGCUCUGUAAUUCCUUCCUGUACGCGUUGUCCAUGGAAAUAUCCCUCUCGUCUAAAUUUAUGCGAAAGCCCUUGAAGAUCAUCCGAACAGCGCAGCAAUCGGCGUAGGUUCUGCGGAUUCCCCGGAGGCUGGUGAAGUAAAUGACAACUCUGUCCUCGGUACCAGGCAGCCGGAAAUGGGGGGGAUCCAAACUUAAGCUUUUCGCGGGUCUGGAAGAGGAGGACAAUGAUGAUGAGGAUAAGGAUGAUGGCUGGGGUGAUAAACUAGGGGAAGAUUGCGACGGGGGUUUUUCGAAGAGGGAACGAAGCUUCUGAACCUUACCCCUCAACGAGUUUCCCGCCGAAGCCAUUGAGCCAAAAGGGGAACUAUACAACUUCUUGACGGAGCCGGUGCGUUCGAGAGGGAGGAGGGGGGUUUUGGUAAAUUCGUACGCUGGGUUUGGGUUGUGCAGCGUUAAGGAUCGGUUGAAUCUGGAGGUAGCUUUAGGAUUUUCAGAGAAAUCAUAUUUCUGAUCAUCAUUGUUGAGAAAGGCCAUAACUACCGAUUGGAAAUGAUGCUCCUUUUUUUUUUUGGGCCUCAAAAGAUAUUAGGGUUCUUCUUUACUAAAUUUUACCCCAAAAAUAAAAAAAAAAAAGGGCAAAGAUCGAUGAUAUCGAUCGCUAAUCGAGAAAAUUUAAGAAAGAAAGAAAGAAAAAAACAAAAGAAUGAUAUAAGACCAACCAAGGUCGGAUUGUUGCUGGAGAAAGGCGGAGGAGGAGGUGAGAGGUGAGAGGUGGCGGAGAUGGGCGGUGUUUGAUGUUUUUUCAGCUUUCGGUCUAUUUGUUGGUGAAAUGAUGGAAGGUAGAGAAAAGGUGUACUUUUCUGAAAGAGGCGUGGAAACAAAGUAAUUCUAUAGAUACAGAAAUUAAAAUAAAAAUGAAAAAAUCGAUUACUUUUCCAAGAUGGAAACAUAAUACAUUCCACUGCAGACAAUUGACCCAUUCGGGCCACAUGCAUUAUGUAUCCGAAUCGUCUCGUGCAGACAAGUCCGGUAAUAAGGAGGCUGUUGGUGAGUUGGCUUUAACAAGUCCGAACUCGGCCCAUUUAGUACUUGACCUUUUAAAAAAAAAAAACCACAUAGGGAGAGUCGCCCGUAAGAUUUAUGAGCCCAAUGUAUCCCAUCAAGACUCGCAACGGUUGAGUACAGUCCAAGCUCACAAAAAGUAGGAUUAUUUCAGAUGGAGACAAUUUCAGAUUAGGAUUACAAAAAUAAAUGUCAAUGCGAGAAAGACCAAGGGGAAACACAAACUCGAAUUGGAAACAGGCAAAUUUGUGAAGGGAUUUAUUUUUUAGGUAAAGCAAAAUAGCUUCUUCUUUCAUCAGUACAAUUAGUACUGCUAUAGAUCUUCACCAAAUUGGCAAGAAACACAACCAAUAUUUUUUACGUUUUAUUAAAGGAGUUUGGAGAUUUUCUAAUGAAAUUUUCAGUGACAAACUUUCGUUCCGCGCGAAUACAAUAUAUAUAUAUAUAUCAAGUAAUUGGCUUCAUGAUGUUCUUAAGAUAAGUUCCCCCAUUAAAUCCCCACAAUGACCAGACCGAGAAAAAAUAAAGAGAAAAAGGAGUACAGCUUUAGAGAAAUUGAAAAAGAUUGUUUUUCUAUCCUUUGUUUUUCGAUAUCAGAGAAUAGUACAAUACAUUUUCUUAUAAACUAAAAAAAAGGAGAGAUAGAGAGAGGGAGACGAAGAACUGAAUAAGCAUCUACGAUCAACUACCUGAUUGUAUUCAGCAGCCAUAGAGAAUUUAGGCUCAAUAAUUGAUUCAUCAAGAAAUUUCGCAGCUGAGUUACCACCCAAGGCUGAAUUCAUUCUCUGCGGAAUGUUCAAUUCCACAGAGGGCCUCUAAUUAUUACAAACUUGAGCUAGUAAAUAGGCAUCAAAGAUGCAAGUGAGACGAUCAUAACAGAUUUCCACAAGACAGAAGAUGGCAUGCGACCCUUGUCAGUGCGGAAGAAGAGUGCUUGGUACACAGGUAUGUUGAUCAUUAUCAGUAAUCCAGAAAGGAUGAUUGGUGGGAUAAACUGCUGGAAAGCCCUUGAUGAUUCGGUAGCCAAAACAACUCUCCGGAUACCCAAAAGGAAACUGAAAAGGUUCAGGAGUGCAAUUGUUGCUAUGAUAGUAAACAUGAUCGAUGAGCUUCCAAAUUCCAAGAUUUCAUUCUCAUAUCUCUUCAUUACAUCAUCGUCAACCACCUUGGGUGUGAGAACGAAUGUUGUUUGGGAGAGGCCUAGUUGCCUAAUGACUGUGUCGAUGAAGGCAAGGAAGUAUGCAGUGGUUCUACGAAACAACCAUAUUCUUUGCGAGUUCCACCAUGAUUUCAAUGUAUCCCCACAGCUAAGAGCUUCAGCUAAGCCGUAUGCGUAUUUCGCAACAAAAACAUAUGCAAAUGGAAGAAACCACAGGCUUGAAACCUGCAAAUCAACAGGACAGUUUAUCGAAGAUUUUUAUCUAUGCUCCAUAGAACACGUACUUAGAAACGGGAGUUUUGCUGGAAUUUAAUGAAAAAUGCAAGAAUUUGAAGGUUCAGCAUCUACGCACCUCCGGAAAUAUUCGAAUGCCAUGAAGUAAGCAAAGACUAGGAGCAACUGCAUAACAAAGCGUGCCAAGGGAAAUGGGAGCCCAUAAAAGGUAGAUACAAUAUCCCAUUUGGGCACCCAGUUUGAUCUUGCCAUGGCCAUAAAUGAAAGGACAAUACUUGGAUAAGAAAAUCUGGAACAUGCCCUCGGACCACCUCUUACUCUGAACAAGAGAUUGAUCUAAAGUUGUAGCAGCAAUUCCCAGAAAGGCAUAUCUACUUGGAUUGUGAUAAAUUGGUCUCCAUCCCCUGCACUGAAUCGCUAGGCCUGUGACUAUAUCUUCCACUGGACAUCCAUAGACCAAUCCCAUCUGCAAAUUCAACAAAGUUAUCAUUAUUAACUUGUCUUAAUUGUGGCCUCUUUUCUGUAUAUACAUUUCUAUCAAAAUGCAUGUUGGUCCAGUGAUGUGUGUUGGAAAGAGACCUCUUUUCCCCAUUGAGUUCCAUCUUCAUAGCUACAGUUUGCAACUUGUUUAGAUGCUUCUUCCAACUCUUCAACAGGCCUACCUUCGAUUUCAUGUUUCACGCUCUUCAGUUCACUUCUGUUAUCCUCGGAGAAUUUCAUUCCGCAAAGACUUGCUCUCCUGUGAAAGCAUCCAGUACCACAGUAAAGGGCACCACCGUUACCAUCGAUUCCAGCCAGCUCAAUCUUCUCAUGGGAAAUUUAAGGUUUUAGUCUGCUAGAUGUCCGAAAAUGCUGACACAGAAAUGAAUGAGGAUUGAAGGUUUACCUGGUGAACAACUCUGGCCACACUUGAAUAGAUAUCAUGUUUAGUGAUGUUAUGGUAUCUUUGUGGAUAUUGCACGUAGGAGGUUCUAUGCCCUUGUUUUUCAUCCAUAAAGAAGCAUAAUGAAUCUCGAAGUGCAUCUGAAUCAUUCGAGUACAUAUCACAGUCCAAAUUGAGGAUGAUCGGUGCAUUACUUAUUUUUGAUGAAACUCUUAUCUGCACGAAAGUUCGAAAGAAUGUUUGGCUGAGACGAUGCUAAACUUUAAACAGCUCCAUUUUCUAUAUGCGACUCACAGAAGCUCUCAAACAAGGUCUAAGAUUAGCUGCGAAAUCUGAAUGUGCGAAGUGUGCAAAAACAAUCUUCGGAAGCAGGAGGGUUUUAGUAAUAUACCAAUGCAUUCAUAGAUCCGGCCUUGAAGUGGUGUGGCCGUUGUGGCCUUUUCUCCCUGGACAAGUACACCAGAGUAGGCAACUGAUGUCCAUCAAUGUCAACAGAGUUGGGAUUUCUUCUGUCAAUUAAUAUCUGAAAACGUAACGAAGAUCUUAAAUCCUAAUUUCAUUGUGUACCUUUUAGAGAGAGAAGAAUUAUAUCAAAGCUAAUAUUGGUACAUAUUACUAUGACAAUUAUUCUGAUCUACUUCAUGAGUACCUGAACAAUAGACUGAUGAUCAUUCCUUGCAAUUAAGGAAUUCCACUCUGAGAACCCCUUGUGUUUUUCCUUAAUCUCUUUUGGGAUGCCUCCCUCUUCAACAACUGUUUCAAUCCUACUCGCCAUGUCUUCAUAUAAUUUCUGAAGGAAAAACCAAAAAGAAAGAAAAUUUCAAUCUAUCUAGAAAACAGAGGAGGCUAGCAACAUUUUCCCCCCCUCCUUUACCAUCAUUUCAUUAGUCUUCUUCACAAAGAUUCCAUGACAAUCACUACUUGAACAAGUCAAGCAUAAUAAAUCCAACCUUACCUUAACUUUCGACUCCUCUUGAGCGAGAACAAGGUCGUGCGAGUCAAGAAUAUUUCUCUUAAAGUAGACUGCAGGAGCCCUGGGUUCCAGCUUGAACUUCUUGCAGAAGGGCAGCCAAUACUUUGCGAAGUCAGAGACCUCCAAAAGAGCAUAGAAUGUGAAUUCUGAUCCUCCAUCAUCGGAAAGGUAAAUGCUCAAUUUUUCAGGAGGAUAGUUAUAUGACAUGGCCGACAAUACAGUGUCAAUCACCAUAAUUGGCGGCUCAACUACAUGAUCCGCUGUGCAAAUAAAGAUAUCAACAUCUGGCAAUUUGUCUUCGUAUCUGCAACAUGGAAUCAUUGAUCAAAACGCUAACAAACAUUUUUUUCUUGUGCAUUUAAAAAAAAAAAAAAAAAGUUCUUUCUUCCACGCCCCCACGUAGCCAUUUUUUUGUAAGAUUUCUUUUCGGCCUCAUUACAAUCAAUUCCAUGCCCUGUAUACUUCAAAUUUAAGGCUCAUUAACCAACACCAGUGAAAUGAAUUCCUCUAAUUGGUUAGCUUUAAAAAUCAGUAGAGAGGACCUGUCACCUGAGUGAAAGCCUGUCUUUGAAUGGAAUCCUUUGGACAACGUUCCAGCGAACAGACUGAGUAAUGAUCCAGUAAAAACCAAACAAGAGCUCUGAGACGAACAUGCCAAUCCAAACCCAUCUUCCAGGUUCUCCAACUCCAGGGAUGUACGUUAAUCUGUACAACCAUAUCAGCACUAUGCUGACAAGUACUGUGAAAGCAAAAACUUUGUAAGCUGCAGCAACUGAACCUCCUUCUGCUGCUUUUGUCUCGAACAAAGAACGACCACUGUUUUCUUCUCUUGCUCCAUUUUCAGUGCUCAUCUUGCUCCUUCCACUCCACAGACCACGAAUCUUAUCCCAGACCUCGUUUUAUUGUGAAACUUGCAUAUAUAACGUGUUCAGAUUUUGUUGAUAUUAUUAAAUAUUCGUUGGCGUUUGCCACCCGCAGGUCCUUUGUCAUUCACUGGGCAGGCAUUCCAGCCAAUAAUAAUAACCACCGGUUUGGCUCACACUUGAAGUAAAUGGUAAUGGGUUUGUGUGGGAUUCCUUUUGCCGAAAAGGGUUGUUUGGUAAUGCUUGCACUGUUGUGGAAAUAAACAUAUUUUUUAGUUUAUUUAUUUAUUUUUGCAUCGUCUUCAACAGCCCUUGACCAAAUGCCUCUGGUGGACUACCCUCCAAAACAUCAAUUAUUAUACCUCAAAUCUCCGCAGCCGCCAGUUCUCCACCUCAAGUUUCCACUAUGGUUUCUUGAUUCAAUAAAAUGAAUAAAAAAAUCCAAGUUCUCCUUGUGAUUCAUCAUGUUUCAACAAAAACCCAACAAAAGAGGGUUAAAACCAUCACCAAUCCAUGGCGGACCCAUGGUUCUUUCAAUCAAAUCAGGAUAAGAAUUUAAGAUAUUCUUUGUAUAAUGAUCUAAAUUCACAGCCAAUCAAAUAUAAACAUUAUCCCGUAUGAAUCACACUUUACAGGGAAAUUACAAGAUCUGUACAUAAAAACACUCGUUGGUUGGUCACCAAGUGCUCUAAAUCUUACAAAAUUUGAGUGUGAAUGACAAAAACUAAAAAAUAUUCCAUGAGGUAGUGGUACUUGAUUCUCUGGUUUUGAUGUUAAAUUUGAUAGAAUAGAAAACUCCGUAAAUGAUAGUGUGAGAAGUGAAGGGAGCAGAGGGAAAUUAAUUAGUUAUGAAGAAUACAAGAAAGGCCAAGAUGCAUAUGAGAAUAUAGGAAAAUUUGCGAUGCUUUUGCUCUACUUUUUUUUUUUUUUUGGGUUAUGUAAAAUUGUUUCACACUUAACCUUUCGAAAUCCAUUUGAAAGUGUCUAAUUUGGUCGGAAAUGAGUAAUGACCAUUGUUGGCCACUUCAUACUGAUGGAGUCGCACCAAUAGAUGCCAACCAAAUAUCAUGUGCGAGAUUUGAGAUAUGAAAUCCAUAGAUUGUGGCGAUUUCCCCCAACCAAACGGGUAAUAAGUAUAACGGAGCCGACUCCAGAAUCAAAGUCUGCUAGUUUUGUCCACUACUGGUGUUUGGAAGGUUGGGUUGACUCUCUUGCGCCAGUCUUUUUGAGGAUUACGGUCAUCCCUUCAGUUCAGGGUUGAUGAUAAUUGAAUGGUAGUAUGGAAUUAAAUAUAUACGGAAGGGAUAAGGCUAGUUUUAGUGAUUGCUUCACCCCCCCCCCCCAAAGGCUAGUCUUAGUGACAACACUUUUUUCCGAAAACGGAAUAAACACACACACAAUUAGAUUAGAAACACUCGAAAAUUAAUGUCCAUUAAACCUAAACGAGACCCACAAAGAACCCACAUCCAACCAAUUGGUGACAGGACGAGGCUUCCAUGAAAUUUAAGUUUAGGUUGAAGAACUCACACACAAACCAUGUGAGACAGAUAGUCUUAGUGACAACUCAGUUGUCUUUUUUUUUAUUUUCCUUUUUCGGACUGAUAUGAGCAUUUAUUAAAGGGUUAACAACGUAAAGCCCCUGUGAUAUAGCUAUCAUACCAAAAAGGCCCAUGUGGUUUCAUAUGAUACGCGUCGAUAUCUCGUGAUUUGAAUUAUUCUGAAAAAUGGACGGAAAUCGUAAAAAUAGAUGGAGUUGAGUGAAAAGACGAAAAUACCCUAAUGAUAUAAGCGAAAAUUGCAGAAGUAAUUUUGCACUUUCAUUCUGUCAAAACCAACAAAGAGAGAGAGAAUUGCAGAAGUAAUUUUGUCCUCUCUUUUUUUAUUUUGAUAUUUGAUAACUACAUAAACCAUACAUCAUUCAUCAUACAAGUACAACACCUCUUCUCCUACAGGCUACAAGCCGCUAAACAAGUACUAAAAAUAGCAUAGCCUCUGAGUAUAUGAUACAGAGGACAGAGAGGGACCGAAAACUCCCUACCAGAAGAGAUGAAAAAAGAUUGGAGAACACCUCUUGGUGGCGAGGGAGUGAAUAUUAUUGAUGAUCAGAGUUUAUACAAGAGAUUUGGGAAAGGAAUUUGUUACAAUCUGUUCGAUGAUAUUCCCUGAACACUACUGAUCCUUUAUACUAGUAGAGAGGCAGAGCAAGUGGAGUUAGUUAUAACUAACUUCAUUUGCCAUUCCUUGCUAUUUUUGGAGCCAUGCAUGUGCUCCGCACGUAGACUUCCCAUGCAUGACCUUUCUAAUUUUGUUAAUUGGUUACAUACCCGCUAAACAGAAAAACAAAUGCAGAAGAAGAUAACAAAGUGACUAGAAAUGCCCAAAAUACCCAUGGUCAUUAUUUGUGUACGUAACAGAUGCUCCCUCUCGGAGAAAGUCCUUGUCCUCAAGGACUAAAGGCAGGAAACUUCUGUUUUAAGUCGUGCAAGAACUCCCACGUUGCAUCCUCUGGAAAUGAAUUACUCCAUUGGACCAAAACCUGAGUUGCUGCCUGGUUGCCUUUCUUCGCAAUGCGUCUGUCUAAAAUUACAACUGGUUCGACCAGCAGUUGACCUUGAUCGUUGAUUGCAGCUGGUAAAUGGGGUGCGACAGGCUGAGAUCCUAUCUUCUUUUUCAAUAGUGAUACAUGGAAGGUUGGAUGGAUGCGUGCAUGAUCAGGGAGUUGCAGUUUGUAGGCCACUUUCCCUAUUCUUUCUAUGACUGGAAAAGGCCCAAAAUACCUUGGAGCAAGCUUCUGACAGCUGGAUGAUUUGAGGGAAUGUUGUUUAUAUGGAUGCAAUUUGACAUAAACCAUGUCCCCAACUGUGAAUUCUCGGUCAGACCUACGGCCAUCAGCAAUUUGCUUCAUGCGAUUUUGAGCCUUCUGAAGGUUGUGCUUAAGGAGGUGCAGUACUUUUUCCCUUGCAGCCAAGCUUCUAUCCACAGCCUCUACUACAGAUGAACCAGGAAGAUAAGGGACAUGGAGAGGGGAUAGCUGGCCAUAAACCACUUGAAAGGGAGUGAUUUGUGUAGCUGAGUGAUAGUUCGUAUUGUACCAGAAUUCAGCUAGGGGCAGCCAGGAAUACCACGUACGAGGCUGUUCACUUGUCAUACAUCGCAGAUACCCUUCCAAGCAUCUAUUUACCACCUCCGUUUACCCGUCUGACUGAGGAUGGUAAGAACUAGAAAAGUGUAGCUGGACCUUCAAGAGCUUGAACAGUUCCGUCCAAAAUUGGCUGAGAAAGAUCGAAUCCCUAUCACUGACGAUGGUUUGAGGAAGUCCAUGUAACUUAAAAAUGUGAUCCAUGAAGGAUUGAGCAACCUCCAUCGCGGUGUAAGGGUGAGAUAAGGCGCAGAAGUGUGCAUAUUUGCUCAAACGAUCUACUACCACCAUAAUGACUUGUCUUCCUUGAGAUUUUGGGAGGCCUUCAAUAAAAUCCAUCGAGACGUCUGUCCAUAUUUUUGUUGGUAUUGGCAACGACUGUAAGAGCCCCGGAUAAGCUGCCAAAUCUGCCUUAUGCCUUUGGCAGACGUCACAAGCAGUAACGAAUUUGUAGACAUCCUCAUGCAUGUGUUUCCAAUAAAAAGUCCCCUUUAACUUCUGGAAUGUCACCAGGAUCCCAGAGUGUCCUCCGAAGGAGCUUGUGUGCCAAAAUUUUAUUAUUUUGUCCCUGAGCAUUUUGUCAGCUCCUACCACCAGUUUUCCCUUUCUCCUCAACACCUGGUUGUCCCAACUAUAAUGCUUGGCCCUGGAAGUGUCACCCGAGAUCAGCUGCUGAAUGGUUUCCUGUACCUUAGGAUCUGACUGCCAUGAUUGCUGUAUCUCAGAUAGCAAAUCCGUAGUAAUACCAUGGAUUGACCAAGAGGUGGCGGUUGCAUGAGGUAUCCUGGAUAGAGCAUCAGCUGUGACAUUUUCACUACCCUUCUUGAACUGCACCACAUAGUCAUACCCCAUCAAUUUGGAUAACCACUUCUGCUGGCUUGGUGUUGAAAUUUUUUGUUCCAUCAGAUAUUUGAGGCUCUGAUGAUCAGUUUUGAUGAUGAAAUGUCCUCCUAACAGGUAUGGUCUCCAUUUCUGUAUGGCAUUCACAAUGGCUAGCAUUUCCUUUUCAUAAACUGACAGGCCCUGGUGCUUAGGUGCUAAGGCCUUGCUAAAGAAUGCUAGUGGCCUCCCCUGCUGUAGCAAGACAGCUCCAAUGCCCAAGUUGGAAGCAUCUGUUUCUACUACAAACUCCUGGGAAAAAUCUGGUAAGGUUAGUACUGGAGGGGAAGUCAUAGCAAGCUUCAAUUGAUCGAAUGCUGUGGUAGCUCCAUCAUGCCAUGCAAAGGCAUUUUUCUUGAGCAAAUCUGUUAAGGGCCUUGCUAUCAUCCCAUAUCCUUUAAUAAACCUGCGGUAAUAGCCUGUCAAACCCAAAAAACCCCUCAACUCCUUGAUGGUAACAGGUGUAGGCCACUGCUGAAUGCUUACAAGUUUCUGAGGAUCUGCGCUAACUCCCUCUGCUGAAAUCACAUGACCCAAGUAUUCAAUCUGGUCAGCCGCAAACGAACACUUGUUCCUCUUGACCUUGAGUUGGUGUUUGAGUAACGUCUCAAACACUGUUGUCAAGUGCUGUAAGUGCUCAUCCUCGGACUUACUGUAUAUUAAGAUAUCGUCAAAGAAAACCAGCAGGAACUUCCUUAGAAAAGGCCUGAAGAUGUCAUUCAUUAAACUCUGGAAGGUUGAUGGUGCGUUGGUUAGGCCAAAUGGCAUAACUAAAAAUUCAUAGUGUCCAUCGUGAGUCCGAAAUGCCGUUUUAGCAAUAUCAUCCGAAUGCAUUCGAAUCUGGUGAUACCCCGACCUUAGAUCUAACUUAGUAAAAACAACAGCUCCAAACAGCUCAUCAAAGAGCUCUUCGAUCAAUGGAAUAGAGAAUUUAUCCUUUACCGUAGCCUUGUUGAGCUCCCUAUAGUCCACACACAUUCGCCAAGUACCGUCUUUCUUUUUUACCAAGACUACGGGAGAGGAAUAAGGGCUAUUACUGGGUCUAACAACACCAUUAUCCAACAUUUCAGUCACCAACCUUUCAAUUUCGCCUUUCUGAAAUGCAGGGUAUCUAUAAGGUCUAACAUUUAUUGGUUGUGUGCCCUCCUUGAGAUAGAUCCUGUGGUCAUGCAUUCUAGCAGGGGGUAAUAGCAUAGGUUUUUCAAAUACCUUAUUGUAAUUUGCUAAAAGUAACUCAAGUUGGUGUUUGUAGGGAGUUACCUUUACUUCACGUUCCAUGGAAGCACAGUCUGCUAUCACUUCCGCUUCUUUGUAGUCAUUUUCUGCCGUCACCAAGCACAGCUGAGCUGUUUCAAUUUGCUCAGGAGCUUCUGCAUUUGCUUUUUUGAAACUACUUGGACUGGUUGUUGUUUGAUCCCCCUUAAUACCGCCUUCUUGCCCUUCUGAACAAACUCCAUGCGUAGCUCAGAGAAAUUCCACUUAACAUCCCCUAAAGUAGAUAACCACUGCAUUCCAAGUACUACUUCACAACCGCCUACAGGUAGGACCAAUACAUCUCCCUCAAAUACUUGACCUUGCAUUCUCCACUGGAACCCAGGGCAUAGAGUGGUCGUGGUGAGAGAGCUUCCAUCUGCCACUACUACUUUAACAGGAGCAACUUGCACUGUUCUCAGGCCAAACUUUCUUACCAUGUUGGGAUGUAGGAAGUUGUGGGAACUGCCACAAUCUAUAAGGAUACUGAAGGUUUUUCUUUCGACUUGGCCAUGUACCCUCAUAGUCCUGAAAUUAGGAACCAAUAAGCUACACAUGGCACUAGUAGAAAUUUGAGCUAGAUUACCUUCUGUCACCUCUUCUUGUUCAUCCUCCUCCAAGCAUUCUGGUUCCUGUUCCUCAGUCUCCUCUUCAACACAUUCAAUCCUGAAAAGUUGCCUCCUCCUGCACUGAUGACCGGGACUGUAACGUUCAUUGCACCAGUAGCAUAGCCCCUUAGCUCUCUUUUCAUCCAUUUCAGCAGUGCUCAAGAACCGGGAGUUCCGCCUCUGUUUCCCCACAUUUCUCCCCCCUUGUUCCCCUGGUUUGGGUAAUAUAGAGGUGCUGUUCAGAUUACUCUGCCUGGCGAAGCUGUUACUCGGGCCAACAUUUGGUGAGUAAGGGGUAGGCAUUCUUGAAGGUCCUGGGUGUUUGUUGUUUUUCCAAGUAUUCAGAAUUUUGGCCUCCUCAAUUUUAGCUAGGCCCACCGCGUGUUGUAGGUCGCGAGGCAUGAACAUCCUGACUGACAACUGGAUUUCUUCCCUCAAUCCCCUUAUGAAACAGCUCACCGCAUACUGCUCAGGAAGAGCUACUCGAUUCAGCAGCUCUUUGAAUGAAUCCUGGUAUUCUUUCACGGUCCUGGUCUGCUUCAAGCUCUUCAGAUCUCCCAUGGGAUCAUCAUAAAGACAAUCCCCAAAUCUGGCGCCCAAGGCUCUCACGUACUCUUCCCAUGAAGGUGGAUCUCUAGAGAUCCUAGCCUUCAUGAAAACUUGAUGCCACUGCAGAGCCUUAUCCUCCAAAUGCAUCGCAGCUAUUCUGACCUUGGUUUCUGAAGGAGUUUCAUCGAUUUCAAAGAAUUGGUCACACUUAUAUAACCAGCUCUUGAAGUCUUCCCCUCCGAAUUUGGGAAACUCGAUGCGAGAGAAUCUGGUCGGAGUCUGAUAGCUGCCUCCGCGGCUUCCUGGAUAUUCAUCCUUAGAAUUGCGUGAUGAUUCUUGCUGCCCAGAACUCCUUUGGCUACAAACUUCCAACACCAGGCUUUUGAUUGCUUCCAGCUCUCGUUCGAACUGCUCCCUCUGUUCCUUCAGCAGAUUCCGAAUGGUUUCCUCGAACUUCCUGUUCUCUUAGCCCCUUGUGCCUUCUGCCAUUAUCACUGGAUUUUUGACUGAGCUGGGAUGACCCAGCUCUGAUACCACUGAUACAGAGGACAGAGAGGGACCGAAAACUCCCUACCAGAAGAGAUGAAAAAAGAUUGGAGAACACCUCUUGGUGGCGAGGGAGUGAAUAUUAUUGAUGAUCAGAGUUUAGACAAGAGAUUUGGGAAAGGAAUUUGUUACAAUCUGUUCGAUGAUAUUCCCUGAACACUACUGAUCCUUUAUACUAGUAGAGAGGCAGAGCAAGUGGAGUUAGUUAUAACUAACUUCAUUUGCCAUUCCUUGCUAUUUUUGGAGCCAUGCAUGUGCUCCGCACGUAGGCUUCCCAUGCAUGACCUUUCUAAUUUUGUUAAUUGGUUACAUACCCGCUAAACAGAAAAACAAAUGCAGAAGAAGAUAACAAAGUGACUAGAAAUGCCCAAAAUACCCAUGGUCAUUAUUUGUGUACGUAACAGUAUAAGUUUGACCAGCACCGAUGGCCGAAUCAACUCGCAUCCCAUCUCCCUCAUCGUCAGGCGGAACAUCCGGUGAAAGAACCAAAAAGAGCUGGUGGCCCUUUGCUUUUCUCGCAUCAGUUCUACCAGUUGUUGUAGGAGUUUUAGUCUACCAACUGGACUCCUUCGACCCUGCUCCUUACCCAGCCCACGAGUUGACUCAGAAGAAACCCCUGAUAGUGCCUAAGAGCAACCCUCGCAUGCUUAAAGGAGCAGGGAUUAUUGGGGUCGGAAAACUGCUAGGGCCUGAAGACAUAGCUUACGAUCCGAAGUCCGGAGUUAUCUAUACUGGUUGUGAGGAUGGAUGGAUAAACGAUUCAGCGGCCGACUCGAUUGUGGCGGACUGGAUAAACACUGGCGGCCGGCCUCUUGGAGUUGUUUGUGGGCACCAUAGCUGAACUAACAAUCGAAAAUAGUUGGUCAUUGAUUUGUAUCUGGAACGCUCUUCCCGUAUUUAUUUAUUGGAUUAAAAGCAUGCUGGUACAUGGUCUGACGUAAGUCGAAAAACGUUAGCUGAAUAACAAUCGAAAUGCUGUGUCCUUCAAUUUUGGCCGAAGCCGAAGACCAGAACAUUGUCUUUUGUAUUAAAGUGUGAAGGGUAAAGUAGGCAUAUCAGGUGAAAAUUUGUGAUAGAAAUCUAUUUUCCGCAAGAAACACACGCCUUUCCGGUGCGUUUAAUACAAACACAGUAAAUUUGAUGAUUUCCGUCGACUUUUCAGAAUAAUUCAAAUCACGGGUACCGACACGUAUUAUAUGAAAUCACAGGAAAUUUUUCUGUAUGAUGGCUAUACCACAGGAGACUUUUAUGUUGUUAACCCUUUAUUAAACAAUGAAUAGUUUGCAUGAUAUGAGAUUUUAAAGAAACAGUAAUAUGAUUCCAAAUAUUACAAAGAAAAUAACAAUGGUAAGCAAGAUUUACAAGAGAAAUGUGAGCUCACUUUGUCCAUGUUCUUAUUCACUCCCAUGCUAUACCACAGUCACAAUUGGAUAUCCACAAAAUAAUUGACUAGACAUCGAGUAUAUCAUCCCAAACGAUUUCUUCUAUAUUAGUGCAUUUUAACUGAUCAACAAUCCUCAUUUUGUUUAGAACAAAGAAAGGAUGCAGUCACCCGGUAGAAAAAGAUCAUUAAUUUGAAAUUUGAAAGCUAGUCAAGAUCGAUUUCCCGCACCCUCAAGAUCGAUUUUCAAUUUUAGAAGCUUGAAGGUGAAAACUCUUUGUUGAUUCACACGUGAGUUAGAUCAUCACCAUUGUCGACUUUCAUAUUCCCUCGCUGUUCUCCUGCUUCAUUCUUGAUGUUGUAGUUUUGAUUAAAGUAGUCAAUAAACAAAAAUUUUGAUCGAGCCCUACAAGACCCUUUGAACCAACUCGUCCAAUUAUUCCACCGACUCAAGUGUACGAGUACAUCUUGAAUUGGCAAGAUCACGACACAUCAGUCUUCGGAUACUCCAAAAAGUUCAUGCAGGUUUGAUGCAGAAUAGUUUAGAUUUACCUCGUCCUUUUAACUGCCCGAUAAAGAAAACUUGUGUGACCCGAAUGAAAAUUCUUGAUUAGAGGUUCAGAAACCACAUCAUUAUUUAAUCCUCACCAACAAUAGAGCGAGGCAUGUGUGUUUAUCGUUAUUAAUAAAGACAAUCGUAUAUGCCCAACGUACAAAGAAAAUUUAAACAAUCAUAAUAGUUUUAAACCUCAAUAAAAAGGGUGGAAAUUACUAAAAGAGCAAUAGAUUACAUGCAUGUAAAAUACAUAUAAUCUAAAUUAGCUAGUACUAAUUAAUACUGCUACUUGGGCAAAGAACGUUUCUUGCGUAAAUAACCAAGUCCAGGAGCAUCCAACAUUUUCUGGGCCCUUUACAUAACAGUCACACGAACAACAUCAAAAAUUGAUCACGGAUCACUGCCUAAUCAAAUCGGGGACACACUUGGAAUUAUGAGCCUGCUGGGUUACAGCAGGACAUUUCUCUGUCACGUUGCCAGAAGAACCAUCAUCAAAAUUGGCUCAGCUGAUGGUGGGUUCUCUCUUGCUUAUGCCUUGGGAUGCAUGCUGCUAUUGCUGGAACUCCAUCCUUCGCACAGCUUUGAGGGGGCAUUCAUUCACAUCAAUCUCUCUCUGGAGUCUGGACCUGUUCUUCUUCUUCUUUGGCUAAUUCCCUCCUCCCAUAGUCCCAUGUUGCUGAUGCCACUCUACUUUUUCGGUGGCCAUAUAUGACGCUAGCUGCUGAUUAAUAUACUACUAGUAUUAUUGCUGCCGGCCGAUCGAUAAUGAUAAUUUUCCUAGCUAGCUGCUACGUCUAUCCCCAUUGUUGUGUAGUGUACUUAUAUUAUAUAUAUGUACGAUGCUAGGCGGUAAAUAACUGAUGUGUGCUUUCCAUAGAAGACAGCCACACUGCAUCCUAAUCCUUAAUCCUAAGUAGGAGUUUACUGAUCUUAAUUGUUCCGGUGCUUGACAAGUGUUGGAAUACAGCAUCAUCCACUGACUCCCCUGAAGACGCAUUCUUCCUUCCUUUUUCCUGUUUAAUGUACAAGCUUUUUAAAUAAAUAAAUAAAUGAAGUACAACCAACGCUCCAACGGUUAAUUCCUUCGUUUAUUGCUUGUAAAAAAAAAUUGGGUAAGUGUUGAUCUGACAGAGGAAAGGUAUUAAUAAGCCCGACAGGCUGCGAACUUCUUUUUUUUCCAAAAUUGCUGGGCCCGGCAGCCACUGGAAUUUUUUUUGAAAAAAAAAAACUUUGGUAGCCAUCAUCAAAAGGAAAGAAAAAAACGUCAGUGGUCAUGACAAGAUUCUGUAGAUAUUAUGGUAUGUUUUGUCUUUUAAUAUGUUAUCAUGUUUUUUGACAAGAUUCUGCAGAUAUUAUGGCCAUUGGUGCUUAUCACCUGGUGGUUUAUUUCAUGCAUCUUUGAUAUGCUAUUUGUUUCUGUACAUCCUCGACAAGUUUGAAUACUUAGUGCUGCCCAAAAUUCUACAAAAAAAAUAAAAAAUUCGACGUAGUUGAUAUUGCUUCUUUACCAAUUGGGAUAAUAUCAGAAACCUCCUUGAGGUUUUUUUUUAAUAUCACUUGACACUCUUGAAGUUUUUGAAAUAUCACUUACCUCCCCUAAUACUUGUAAAAAGUUUAUAUUAAUUUUCACUUGACACUUAAUUCAUAUAUCAAAUAAAUCGAGUUCAAAAAAAUUUUUUUUUUAAAAAAAUAAAAGUCACUUUCUUCUCUUUCCUUUUUCUCCAUCAUUUUCUCUUACUCAUUGUUUGGAUGACUAUGCAAUAUUUUAUUUGUAAAUUAUAAUAAAUUAAAUUUUGUUUAUCUUUUAUUUUUUAUAAUUGUUAUAAAAUAGAAUAUGAUUUAUUUGCUUAUUUUGAGUUAACUUUUAUAAUGAUUGGUACAAUUUAAUAGUUUGUGCAAGGGUUGAGAAAAUGUUAAAAAAAAUGUAGAGCGGUUUUAAACAUAUAGAGUUAAAUUGGUGCAAAUCUAUUUCUUUUCAAAUAUAUUUUUUAUUUUUUAAGUCUAUAUUUUUAUGAAGUAUAGCAUUAUGAUGUGAUAGUACUACAAAAGAUUUUUUUUAGGUGAUGAUUCUCUUGAAGUGAACAAAGUGGUUUAGGAGUAUUUGUAUUUAGCAAAUGAAUGGGCAGUUUAAAACUUUUAAAAGUUUUGUUAUACAAAUAACAAAAAUAAGGGAGGUAAGUGAUAUUUUAAAACCUUAAAGGUGCCAUGCGAUAUUAAGAAAAAUCUCAGAGGAGGUUUUUGAUAUUAUCCCUUACCAAUUAAUUCUUCUCUCCUUCAAUGCUUUGCCUAACGAUUCUACCAAGGAACUUAUUGAAACUGAACAACCAUUUCUUGAGGAAAAGUUUGAAUACCAACCUGGUCAUGACUAGACCUGACAAUCAUAUUCAAAACCUAACAACCCACCCAACCCACCCACUAAUUUGAGAGGUUGGGUUGGGUAAGUUGGGUAUUGGGUCAAUUUUGAGUUGAGUAAUAAAAACCCACAUAUAUAUUUGGACGGUUUGGGUAUUUGUGUUAGGCACCCAUUACCCAACUUUUGCUAAUUGAAUCAAGUGAAUAAUCAACACAAUCUUAAAAGGGUGAAUAGUUACUCAAAAGCAUCAACUAUAGACUUUUUUUAAAUUAUUUUUUGCUAUAAACAUCUUUUGUGAUUAUAACAUAAUUCGCCAAGCAAGUUAAAAUUUUUUUACUUGGCAUAUUUUUAAUUCCUUGGCUACAUACUUAAUAGGGUAUUACCCUAUAUAUGGACAAGGCCAGAUGUGUUAGAAUAGUUGCCAGAUUCAUCGUGACAAAAAAAUUAAUUUGCAUUUAUGAGUUAGAUAUUUAGCUACAAUGUGACCUUUUUUCAUUUAUAUUAUCGUCAUCAAAAUGUUCAGUAUGAAGAAUUUGAACAUUAUUAAAUUCGAAAUUAAUUUUGAGACAUUAAUGUUAACUUACAACUACUCAUGUCCUCGGUGCUUAAUAACUACCACAUAACUCAUUCAUGCUAAAAGAUUUUUGUUUUUGUAAACUGUAUUCUCAAUAUGUAAAAACUACAUAAAUCCAAAAUUACCAUACUUUCUUUGUGAAAAUAUUAGCAUAAAAUCUUUUUUUAGGCGAUUUGGGUAUUUGUGUUGGACACCCAUUUAAAUUUUUUUUUUUGUAUGUGAAAAUAUAUUUGAGAGAGUUUAUAUAUCAAAAUCUAUUAAUUAAUAUAUUGGGUCAUGGGUUUGAGAUGACCCAAUAUGACCCAACCCAAAAUUAACCCAAUCUAAAGUUGGGCGGGUUGGGUGUAACCUAUUUAAAUGAAAAUCCAAUAUUAACCCGCCCAAAACCCUCCCAACCGGCCCAAUUGCCAGGUAUAGUCAUGACCGCCGACAUUAUUUUUUUCUUUUGAUGAUGUCAGCCCGGUUGCCAUCAGGUAUGAUUAUUAUUAUUAUUUUAGCAAUAUAUGAAGGAAUUAGCCGGCUCCAAUGGAUCAUAGCUCUACAAUUGCCAUUCUCAAUAUUUUGGGCUGUAAUUGAACUAAACUGCUCAUAAUCAACUCAAUCAAAAACUCAAUUCAGAUUCUAAUUGACCAAAAUUGAAUCGAGUUUGAGUAGUUCGACAAGUCUAGCAAAUCGAAUUCGAGUAUCAAAUAAUAAGGAUCGAAGGUUCGUCAAGUCUUAUCGAAUUUUUCAAUUUUAAUUCUUUAAUAUAUUAUUAUUAUGGAAUUAUCCUUGUAUCCAAACAAGUGGUUGAAUUUUUGAAAUGUUUCAAGUCAUAUGAAAGUUUUUAACGGGUAAUAAUGUCUUUUCAAUCAAAAUUACUAAAAGAAUUGAAAUUCGUAAGUCUUUUUGACUCGAAUUUGAUAAGAUUCAUAUUGACUUGAAUCCAUGCGAGUCGAAUUCGAAUUCCAAUAAUACUAUUUGUUCGAGCUCGAGUAUCUUUUCUGCAUGUCAAGUUGAGCUCGAGUAUAGCGAUACUCGAGAUUAACUUGAUUCGAUUACAUCUUCAGUCAAUCAGCACUAAAACCACAAAUGUGCAAACUAAAACAACAAGAAACGUAUCGAAACAGUUGUUGGGCGCAAAUUUCAAUAAGCGAUAAAUUUAAGGAGACAAAAGGGUUUUUGAUGCUUGUUGAGAAACCAAACAAAAUCAUGGCGCAAAAACUUGGGCCCUUUCAAGAGCAAACAAGUAGUCUUUGGGCUUAAGAUCCAACUCCACCUUGUUAGUUUCGUUUUGGGUGUGACCCGUGCGCGAAUGCCAUUGGCGGGGGCCCGCUGCAGAAAUGGAAAGUGCUGGAGCCGAGAACAAGUUAAAUCAAAUGAGACACAACAACGAUAUCACGUCCUAUCGUUUCCAAAAAAAAUGGAAAAAAACAACGAUAUAACGCGUUUUGAGGAAAUUUCUGGGGGCCGGAACCGGAAGACGUGCCUUAUCAGAACGCGGGGCCCGGUCUAGCAGCUCUGCUUGGUCGAUUUAAUCCCAAACUUGAACAAACUCUGCCAUAGCCCAAACUAUACGGAUUAAUUUUCCAAAAGUCUUGUCUCCUAAAUUAUGGUUGCCUGCUUUUAUGUGGCUGGGUGGUAAGUGUCCUAGUUGCAUGAUAAGACAAGACAAUGGCUUCAUAUUCUUAGAAAGGUUUUUGUGGUUGGUGGAUCUAAAUAUGCAUUCUUUGAUUUUCUUGUACAAAAUUAUUGUAAUUAAUGCACAGAUUUCUCAAAUUUCUUGUAAAAUCAAACUAUUUACUAAAGAACUUCUAGUUUUUGUUUUCCGGUUUAUCUAACAUGUACCCUGUGAACACUCAUUAACAUGUAUUUCAAGUGUUUAAUUUUUAAGAAUAUAAAAUUAAAUAGGAAAAAUGAUAAACGCACAAAAAAUAGUAAUUAUUAAUAUAUGUAUAUACAUAAUAAAUUUGGUAGAAUGUAGUUGUGCUUGACGAAUUACAUAUUAAAAAACAUUUUUUUUAUAGCAAAUAUAUGACCCGCAAUGGUCAAAAAUAAGGUUAGCGCCAUGGGUAUCAUUGAUGGUUCAUUUGUGCUUGAUUUAAAAUCAGAUGAACGAGAUUAAUUGCAAGGUAUAAAUCUCAACGUGCGACAGAAUUUUGAGUCUCGUAAAUAGACUAAUGGAUAACUCACCUCCUCGCUAUUAGAAUUCCUAGUUUGCAUGUAUCACACAAAAAUAUCAUGACGUUUAAGUUGUAAUUGUAAAGUCUAUACAUUCAAUACAUACCUUACAUGACAUUUAAGUUGGUCAAUGAUUGUCCUCAUCCUUUGGAGUGCGACAAAGACCGAUACUUGUUAUGGCAUCAUGACUUCCUUUUCGUGGUGAGGGUAGAUUUAUGAUACUGAUCCUUAGACUUUGAAAUAAGAUUAGGAUGAGAAAUUCAACGUAAAUUUUUUUUUUAGAACGUUUUUUCACCUAUUUAUUUGUGAACUCUCUUUUUUUAAAAAAAAAAAAAAUCUCAAAUAUAUGUUAUCUCAACAAUCAUUACAAUUCCAAGUUAUCAGUUUACUAUAGUAUCAAGACUCACUCUAAACGUAAUCAUAUGUGUCAUGAAUAAAACUAUUAAACUAUAAUUCAAUAAGACGUCUUUUGGAUUUUUUUUUUUGUUCAAGAGAAUUUCUAAGCUUUAUAAGGAAAAUGGAAAUGACUUGAAAGUUCUGAUUAAUAUUCUUACUAACGUUAAGUUAUGAGGACUCAUUUUAAAAAUUUGUUUAAAGAGAGAAUUACAGUUUUGAUCUUAAAUAUUUUGGAUAUGAGUACUAAAGUUUGGAUGAAAGCAAAUAUAGUUCCAAAAAAUUUCAUUUUUUAUGCAUAUUUAGCCCUAAUGACUUAUUUUUAUCAAUAUCUACCGCAAUCAGGUAAUCUGCUAGCAACUAUUUUUAGAAAAAUUUUACAAAUUAAUAAAAUAUUGUUGGCCAUAAUUUUGUAAUGAAAAAAAAUGCCUUAUUACUCAUAUGCCAGUCACAGUGUAAUCUUUUUUGAUUUUGUAACUUUGUUAAAUUUAAUUAUUUUUUAUAUCAGAUAUAUCUAUGACACAUUCUAUAUAUUUUUGACUAUUAGUGCAGAUUUUUUUGUUAAAAAAAUCGUGUUGGACGAUUUCUGGUUAGUACAUUAAUAAUAUUGGCUUCUAAUUUAUAUAAAGUAACAAUAGUAAAUUCGACUAGGUUUUAAACCCCUUUUAGGAAGGUAAAAUUGAAUUGAAAUAUAGUUCAAAAGGAAAACACCCCCCAUUCUCAAUCUUUUCAAUAAAACCACAACUAAUUUAUUUCUUUGCACAAAAGGUACAUUCCAAAGGUGACCGAAUGGUGCACAUAUUCGAGCCCAGUCUAAAACUCAAAUAGACCAGCAGCAUAAUUGAGCGGAUCUACACAUAUAUUCAACAUCCCUAUUGCAGGAAUCAUCCCCCACCCCCCCCCCCCCCAACAAAAAAGAAUCUAUCAUCAUCCCUUCCCUAUUCUCGUAUAUUAGGCUAGUUUAGAUUAUAGAAAUCCUAUAAUUAGAACAAAAAAAAAAUCACCCCUUCCCACUACACUUGAGAGUAUGGUAUUUUUCUUCCUAUCCUAUUUCUGCCAUUAACUUUUAGACCGACAAGUGUUCGCACAUGAUGCACGUAAUAUAAGACGUGACCGUAGCCCCGAAGACUCGUGAAAGCGAACCACCAAACCAACAAAGCCGAAACCAUCCAAAACCUAACAAUUAUUAACAAAGCUCCCACAAAUACAAUCCAAUUACAUUACACAUUUCUCUAUCUACUUUUCGAUAUAGUCAGCACGGACGCUGCCAUUUGCUGACCUGGCAUCCCGUCUUCUCUUCCCUCUGAUUUGCCCGUCAUCAACCAUGUAAAGAAAAAAAAGAAAGAAAAAUCUAUCUUUUAGAGUUUUCAAAAAUCAAAUCUUUCACCUUCAUAUACUCAAGACUCUCUCUUCCUUCUCUCUCCUGUUGGCCCAAACAAAAAAAAAAAAAAGAACUCAUCUUUUGCAGUCAAUUUUACUCCGUAUUUUUUGUUUGUUCAAAAAGAAAUAAAGUUAGGUUUUGUGUGUUUUGUUUGUUUUCUCACGAGGGUUUAAACUUUUUUGGGGGACCGGAAUAUUUGUUGUUGAGGAAAUUUUGAAGCCUUGUACUUUUCUUGGUGGUUGUUUGUGUCUGUACUGAGAGUUUUGAUGAACGUUUUGACUAUUGUUGAAGACUGAAGAUUGGUGAAGUGAUCAAGAUAGAAUUAUUGCUCUGGCAGCUGCUUUCAAGAACUUACUGCUGCAGUAAGAUUAAAACCCUUUUUGGGAUUUUUUUUUUUAAGUUUUACUAGAACGAGUUUUAGGUUUAAUGGUGCCUUUAGCCUCUUUUCUUUCUUCCCUUAAUGUGUACUGGGGUUUUUCUUGAGCGAGUUAUCACUAAGCCUGUUUUUUUUUCCCAGUACGAUGCACUCUUUUGGUUUUUCGAUUUUUUUUCUUUUCUUUAUAGUAAUUUUGAUGAUCCUUUGAUCUAGUUUGGCUUCAAGUUUUCAGCUUAAUAAUAUGUAAAUCGUCAAGAUUAAAAAUUGCGAAGAAGUUACAAUUGUGUUGUUGCAUAUGUGUGAUUUAGGAAGAAUUCGUGAUUGUGGUUUUUAACCACAUUUAUCAGGUAAUUUAUGUUGGUUUAUGCGUAGAUUUGGUACUUAGUUUCGUGAGUUCUUGUUUAUGUAAAAUAGAAUGGCGUGGUUCGAACUCUUGUCGGCACGGAAUAUUCUCAGCAAUACUGAUGAGCUAAUAUCGUCCGGCUAAAUUCCAGUGAACCAGUUUGCUCUUUGAGGCACCCUGUUGAAUAGGUUUUCUUGCCCUUUUUCUUUUUGGGUCCUUUUUAAACUUCGAAGUUUUUGAAAUGCUAGAUCAGUCUAUCGGCAUGUUCUUCAAGGUUUCCCCGGCAAUGCUGUAUGGGAUUUUGUUAAAGAACUCUUUUUCAUGACCGCACAAAUUCAAGUCUUAUGAUAUUUCCCUAAUAAUUCUCUUCCAUGUCUUGCAAAGUUAAGAAACUGGAAACAGGGGAAUCUUUUUUGAGAAGGUCUCCUCAGAAAAGACAGUUUCAGACAAACAUGUCCAGUCCUUUGUAUGUUCUCUGUUUAUAUUAUUUGAAAGAUGAAUAAUCGUUGCAUUCUUAAGCUAACGUUACUUCAUUUGGAGGUUUGUUGAUAUCUCUUUAAAUGUUAUUGCCUUAAUUAAAGCCAGGUCUUUGAAUGUGCUACUGUCGGAAGCAUUUUACUUCAUUUACUUCUUUUGCAAUACGGCGUUCACUUACAUAAAGUAUUUAAUUGAAAGGUUUUUCAAAAAGAGUCCAAAUAAGGUGAUUACUGAAGGAUUGCUGAAACAACUUCAAGAGAAACAUGUGUAGACUUUUAUAUUUGAAAGCUAACAAUUUGCAACCCGAAAUUUGGUGUCUAUCAUUUAAGUUUCUUUCAACCUUUCAAGUUAGGCUUUGUUUUUGUUGUGUCCACCUUUUGCUUUAUGGUUUAGUUAUGAUUUUUAAGCAAGAAUGGACCUUCUUUUUGUUGGGAUGCUUCCCUCCACUCCCUGCCCCCUCCCCCUCUUUAUCAGUGACCACCUUUUAAUUGUAUGUAUCAGUUAUAUCCUUUGUUACCUUUUUACUCAUCUUUCUUAUUGUUUAUAUUGUUUUUUUAUACAUCCAGUUUUCAAUUUUAUUAGUAAAAAUGAAAUAUUGAGCUUUCCGUUUCAUGGGGACAUGAUAUGCUUAAGAAGUUUAUACUUCUAUCUCAAGCUUGUAGUCUACUUAAAUGUUAAGGCGUAGAUCUUUUUUAUGAUUGACUCCCACACCCCCCGCCCCCCCAAAAAAAAACCCCCAAGAAAAAAGAAGAAGAAGAAGAAGAAGAAGAAGAAAGGGUAAUGUUAUACACGACACACAACAUGUGAGAAUUUUAGUAUAACCUAAGUACUCUCUCUCUGUGUAUGGCUGGACACAGACAGACAUCUGUAUGUCUCCAAGUUGAAGCUGUCGAUAACUGACAAAGUUCCUUCAGAUGCUUUUCUUUGUGACUUGUUCCCCUUUGGUCUUAAACAGCUUAAAUUUAGUGAUACGUGACUUUUUUGUAUCUGAAGCUUCUUGUGCAUUAUGAGCUUUGCAUGAAUGAACUUUUUUUUACCUUGCCUUGAGUUAUACUCUCUAGUUAGUUUGUAGAGCCCUUUCCAGGUUUACUCUCUCAUAAUAGUCUUUCCUGUUUGGGUGUUUUUGACAGGUGAAUGUUCAUAGGAGAUUCAAGUGAGAUGGUUGCAAAAGAUCGUCAAAAGAACACAGGAUCUCCUAAAGUUGUAGUGGGAGAGAUAGACACUAGUGCACCUUUUCAGUCAGUUAAAGAUGCCGUCAAUUUAUUUGGCGAGGGUGCUUUCUCAGGGGAAAAACCUGCCACUAGAAAAGUAAAGGCAUAUUCUGCAGAGGUACAUCUACUACCCCUUUUCUUAGAUUAUUGUCAUCCUUGGCCCUGAUUGCUGAUGCUUUUCUCUAGUCUUAGCAAUAUGUCACUGAUGACUUGUGGGGCUAUACAGUUUUAAGGUUUAAUAAAUGAAAAUUAUGUCCUUAGUCAAGAUUUGGUUGUGCAUUUGAAUUUGUGAUUUGUUAGUAUAAAUGUUUUUUAGACCAAUAAAACUGUGGAUCCCAUACAUGUUACAGUUGGUCUGUGCAUCUACUGUCAACAUUUUAUAGUCUGAACUUGCAGCUUGCUUAUUAUACCCUGUAGCUUAUGCUUUCUCUGCUUCUUUGUUAUUUCAGAGAGUAUUAGCAAAGGAGACACAGCUUCACUUGGUUCAGAAAGAGCUCAAUAAGUUGAAAGAUCAAUUGAAGAAUGCUGAAAGUACAAGAGCCCAAGCACUUUCAGACCUUGAAAAGGCUAAACGAGCCGUUGAGGGUUUGACUGCCAAACUCAAUACUGUUGGUGAGUCGAAGAAUUUGGCGAUUAAAGCAACAGAAGUGGCAAAGAAUCACAUGGAUAAGAUGGAAGAAGCAGAAAGGUGCAAUUCCAAUGGUGUUGAUGGUUCUCGGAGAGAGAAUCUUGAAAGUGCGAGAGAACAUUAUAUGGCUGUGAGUGCCGAACUUGAUGCUACAAAACAAGAUCUGAGGAAGAUCCGUCAGGAUUAUGAUGCAUCUGGGGAAGCCAAAGCUGCAGCAAUCAAGCAGGUAGCAGAAGCUGAGGUUGCUGCUAAAGCAAAUAUGGAGAAAGCUGGUGAACUAUCCAAAGAAAUUGCUGUUCUUCAGGAGUCAAUUGAACAGGUGAAGCUUGCCAGUAUGCAAUCACAGGAUGAAGAAGCGAAGUUAUAUGCUGAUAAGGAUGUCCUGAAGCAGUCUUACAAAACCAGACUGGAGGAGUCUGCAAAUAAACUGAAUGCCUUGAAGAAGGAGAUUGAUCCUGAACUGACUCGAAAUCUGGAAACACAGUUGGCUGAAACCAUGUUGCAAAUUGAACAGCUAAGAAAAGAGAUGGACAGCACAAAGGCUUCAGAUCUUGAUUCUGUGAAGAUGGUUACUACAGAGCUGGAUGAUGCUAAGGAAUCAUUGCAAAAGGUAGCAGAAGAGGAGAGCUCAAUGCGGAGCUUGGUGGAAAAACUUAAACUUGAGCUUGAGAAUGUAAAAAAGGAGCAUUCAGAGUUGAAAGAAAAGGAAGCGGACACAGAAUCAAUAGCUGGAAAUCUGCAUGUCAAGCUUCGCAAAACCAAGUCUGAGCUGGAAGCAGCCCUUGGAGAAAAGUCGAAAAUAGAAGGUGCUUCUGAUGAUAUGCUCUCUACCCUCGAGCAGCUGUCAUCGGAGAAUGAAAUUGCAAGAAAUGAGGCAGAGGAGAUGAAGAAGCAAGCUGAGGAGUUGAAGAAAGAAUCUGAAGCCACCAGAAUUCUUCUAGAAGAAGCAGAAGAAAGGUUAAAAGUUGGAUUGCAAGAUGCUGAAGAAGCCAAAGUAGCUGAGGCUAGCGCCCUCGAUCAGAUUAAAGUUAUGUCCGAGCGAACCAAUGCUGCACGUGCAUCUACCUCUGAAACAGGUGCCCAGAUCACCAUAUCGAGAGAUGAAUUCGAGUCAUUAAGCAAAAAAGUUGAAGAAUCUGACAAGUUGGCAGAAAUGAAAGUGGCUGCUGCAAUAGCUCAGGUGGAAGCUGUGAAAGCAAGCGAAAAUGAGGCCCUGAAGAAGUUAGAGGCCACUCAGAAGGAGAUUGAUGAAAUUAAAGCUGCAACUCAGGAGGCAUUGAAAAGGGCAGAGAUGGCUGAGGCUGCCAAGAAAGCCGUGGAGGGAGAACUAAGGAGGUGGCAUGAGCGUGAGCAAAAGAAGGCGGCAGAAGCAGCAUCAAGAAUUCUUGCCGAAACAGAUAUGUCCUUCACUGCUUCUCCAAAUAAUUACCGAAUUCAAAAGCAGAAUCCUCCAGAGAAAAGGAUGGAAUUCCGAAAGCUGGAUAGAGCAAAAACCUCUGUUUCAAGGAAAGUACUUAUGCCUAGUAUCACUGGUAUAUUCCACAGGAAGAGAAACCAAGUUGAAGGUGGUUCUCCUUCUUAUCUGCCCGGAGAGGAGCCUGUGUGAUAAAGGGUAUGGUUAAAGCCGAAGUAGUUUAUCUGUGUAUAUUUUAGAGACGUGCAAACAUUUUUCCUGUUUUUGUUUCACUUUCCUGACGGGGUCUAUUUUGCUGAAAACAGUUUGGAGGAGGAUUGGAUGCCUUUCAGAUUUAGAUAAUUGGCUGGAAAUAUUAUUACAUAUUUUGUGUGAUCGUUGCCUGUGUGCAGCAUAUGAAAAUAAAUGCUGGGAAGUGAAUGUGCUGUCAGUGGAGAUUCAUACGAUUCACAACAUGAGUUUGAAUUGGUCUAAUCCAAGUGUUAGGCACAGAAGCCUGAAGUAAAUUCUGCAAAGAGUCCCAAAUUGAGUCAUUAGUUCUGAUAUGACACGGCAAAUGAUGAUGGUAUUGGUCUCACAAUAUAUAUAUUUUGUAGGGUUGGUCUCACAAUGUUGAAGUCAAUAAUCUAUCAGCAGAGUCUACGGAUAACAUUAAUUGAUAUGUUCCACUGAAAAAUCAGAUGCUGCCACCCUCCUCCCUACAUUCUGAUCUUGCAGUAGUUAGUUUGCUUUCGAGGGCAGGGCACUAAAGCAAUAAUCUUGCAAUCGCAGAAUGUAGUAUGGUGAUGGUUCGCACGAUCACAAGUUGGAACGUGACAUAAGCUAUAGUUCUUCUUUUGCGAUUGAUAGCAUAAAAUGAAAUAUUUGAAUGAAUGAAUUAAAUAAUAUUAAAUUUUUUUAAAUAAAAUUUAUUUCAAAAUAUAAGUGAUAUGUUAUCCACUUAUCAUUUCAUAUAAUAUAGUAUUUUUUAAAUAAAAUUUAUUUUAAAAAAAAGUGAUGCGCUAUUCACUUAUUAUUUGAUAUGAUAUGUACUCAAUGUAUCAUAUUUGAUUUAAUGAAUUCAGAAUGUAAUUUACAGACCUUAAUUUUAUCAAAUUCACCCUUAACUCAGAUUUUCUUCUUAACCCCACAAGCACAAAACACAUGUUAAAGAGGGAGUAAAAUGGAAAGUGAAUAACAAAACUAAUUAUUGUUUUCCUUUCCUUCCUUUUUUUUUUUUUUUUUUUCUAGUUUCAUCAACUGUGUAAUUAUUGUUAAAAAUGAAUAUGAGAGAAGUUUGGAAAAUAAAAAAAAUGAGAAUAAAAGGGGGUUAAGUUUCACUGGUGCCCUUGACUCCUCAGAGGACCAAAACUGACCAUGACAAAUUGACAACUACUAAUACUGCUACUACGUCUGUAACCAUCACUCCCGAAUGAGGCAGUAAAUCUAUAUCCGAUCUCUUCCUCCGAUCUCCGGCGAAGUCAAAUGCCAAAGUGGCCCUUUCUCCACACCCGAACCAAUUAUUACCAUUAGUCUCAUUCAACACCAACAUUAAGGUUUAAACCGCCAUUCUUUCUCUUUCUUUCUUUCUUUGAGGACAACGUCGAACACUUUCAUGGCUAGCACUCGAGAGGAUGCUCUCUCGUUCUUGAACCCUUCUACUUCUUCUCCAGUCACAGUCUCCGACGCUGACAGCUUUCUGCUCGACAGCUCCCAAAUCGGUAGCGCCUCCGGAAGCUUCCAAAACGAGGGAUUUCUUGGAGGCCUUGAUGCUACUGCUGCAGCUGUAAAUAUUGAUGCUGAGUUUGGAUUCUCUAGGCCUGAUUUUAGGCAGAGCCCGUUGGUCGGAACAGUCGAGUUCUAUGAGCGCCACGUGUUCCUUUGUUACAAGAAUCCGCAGGUUUGGCCUCCUCGGAUUGAGGCUGCUGAGUUUGAUCGCUUGCCCAGGCUUCUUUCUGCCGCUCUAUGUGCUAGGAAGGCUGAUAUGAAGAGACAGGUUGGUGGUUUUUUUCCCCCAGUUUUUCUCUUUGAGGUUUUAGUUGAUCUGGAUUUAAAAUUUUUUUUUUAUCUUAAUUUAUAGUGGGCUUUUAGUAAUUUGUUGAUUAAUGGUUAUUUGUGUUGAUUUCUGGCAGAUUUUUGGGUGGGUUCUUGGGGUUGAGGUUGGCAUUUAGUGUAUGUUGUUGCUUCGUUAAACUAAAAAGACCGAAAGACUAGUCUUUUUUGAGCAUUACGCUAACAGGAUGUUGCCUUUUUUAUCUUGUAUGCUGUUACGACCAUCUUAAUUUGUGUGGACAGUUAUUUCAUCAAUUUCGUUACCUGCAAGAAUUUUGAAUCUUGAAACAUGCAUUUGUUAGUGUAAUUUAUGAUCAAUUUAUUUUCAGUUGGUAUGACAAAUGAUAAUCAAAAUUCUUGCUGAUUAGUAGUAUGCUCUGUCAUCAAUAUAUUAUGUGUUUGUUGACCAAUGUCUUCCUCAAAACUGGAUCUUGAGCUGCAUUUUACUAGUAGAAUUAGGGCCAAUGUGAUAUUGGAUUUUGAGAAGCGUCUUUUUUACUCUUCUCCUGAACUGGACCUUAGGCUGCAUUUUAUCACUAGAGUUAGGACCAGCGUGAUAUUGGAUUUUAAGAGGUGUCUUUUUUACUCUUUCCCGACUUCUGGUUGAUGUAUUUUGAGAGGAUAUGACACCAUGAAUCGUAUUGCUCUGUCAGCAGAGUAUGUUUUGUACUUUUUAUUAGCAAAUGUUUGUGCUGAAGCGUGCGUUUUGAUUUGUGCGCGGAUUCUACAGGAAUAUUUCUGGAAGUAAUAUAGUGGUUAUUCCUCAUAUAUUAGGAAUGAGUUACCUAUAUAGAGAAAUGUUCCACAACCUCUAUCCUCUUUAGCUUGCCAAGUCUUGUAAUGCCCAAUGCUGCUAGCCAUUGGAUAAGGAGGUGGCUGCUCAUCCGUGCAGGGGUGGCUGUGUGAAGUCUAGCUUUAUAAACUUAUGUUCCAUUUUAUGUGGGUGUACUUUCAUUUCACAGCCUUGGAUAUUCAGAAUCUCUAACUUUCUCUUUAAUCCUUUUCUUUUAAGAUUCGGUUAGCAAUAUGUGAGGGGCAUGAUGGAACUGAGACAUCAAAUGGUGAUGUCCUAAUAUUUCCAGACAUGGUCAGAUACAGGUGAAGUAAUGCAUAUCCGUUGUGGAUUAUGACGAUUUUUUCGUAGCAUGUGUUGAUAUUGAGCAAUUAAUGUAGGAGGUUAACUCAUUUUGACGUGGACACGUUUGUUGAGGAAGUACUUGUGAAGGAUGGUGAAUGGUUGCCUGGAACACCAGAAGCUCUAAGGGGCUGGUACAUAUUUGUGUGUUGUCAUGGUACUAGGGAUAGACGGUGUGGUGUUUGUGGGCCUGCUCUUGUUAAUAAGUUCAAUGAAGACAUCGAAUUACAUGGUCUUCAACAUAAGGUAUCUGUUAGUCCGUGCUCGCAUGUUGGGGGACACAAGUAUGCUGGAAACGUGAUCAUAUUUGGGCCAAAUAUCCAUAAAGAAAUCACUGGUCACUGGUAAUGAAAACCGCUUAAUGUUUUGCCCCCCCAAACAAAAAAUACCCGGGGUAGUUGAUAUCAUCCUUAAGCUUUCUGCUUAGUACAUGCUUUGUUGUUGAUGUAAAACUUUUGCAGCUGCCCUUACGUUCUUUGAUAACUGAUUUGAUUAGAAUGUGCACAUAGGUAUGGGUACGUGACACCAGAUGAUGUACCAAUUUUGCUUGAGCAGCAUAUAAGGAAAGGAGAAAUUGUAGAUUGGUUAUGGAGGUAAUUUUUCCUUUUAGUUCAUGUACUUUUGGUUUUACUUCGUGUUUUAUUUUAGCAUUGCUCUGGCUACAACAAGCACGUGCCUGCAUUUCUUGAUAUAAUAUAUAAGGACAUUUUCUGGCUCUUCAAGCAGUUAAUGUAAGCCUUACCUUACUUAAGCUGUUAAGUAAUGGGAUGCAGUUUCAUCUAUUCAGUAAAAGUUUUUUGGAGAAGAAGUCUUAUAUUUCUAAGGCAAGUGCCUGGUAAUAUAAGGACUGGUAGAGAGUUACUGGACAGGGAGUUAGGUUGAGUAUUAUGUCAUUUCUUCAGGGGACGGAUGGGAUUAUCAGAAGAUGAACAAAUAAACUCUCAGGAACUACGGCUCACAAUGAACUUGAUGCAAACCAAUGAUAAGAGUUCCAAUACAUGUGGUUCUCAAGCAGAGGGAUGUUGCCAGGCAAAUGGAAACUCCCUUUGUUGCCAGAACCCUCCAUUACCAGAAAAGAGAGAGACUCCUGAACUGAAAGAAGAGGCAGGAAAGUUUACAGCUGAAAAGAACAAGAGCCUUAAGAAACAAAUUUCUCGACGGAAUAGUGGCAAAGGGGCUUCCUGUCGCAAGGUCUGUUCUAUGCCUACUUGGUUUGAAAGCUGGGAACGUGAAGACACAUACGCAACACUCGCUGUUAUUGGUGCUGUCCUAUCAGUGGCCUUUGCCUAUAAUUGCUUCAAACAGUUAAGGUGAAAUCUUAAAAAUUCCUUUUAAGUUGCUUGCUGCUGUGACUUUGUAUUACAAAACUCUUGGUUCUCAUCUUCCAUUCACCGGUUGCUUAUUUUGAAGUUUCUGAAGGAAGAUCAAAAAGUUUGGGUUAGAAGGGGAAAGGAAACACCAUCAGAUGUAGAAAUUUAAAAUUGGAGAAUGCAAAUGAUAUAAGAUUGGUGUAUUGUGCUUCUUGUUUGCGCCGCUCGGAAUGCUGAUAUAUGUAAAUUCGGAAUCUGUAACUGUCAUAUUAACAGCCUUUUGUAAUCCUAAUUUCUUUGUGAAUAUUUAUCAAUUCCAUGUAAAGGUACCUGUGUCUUGUAUGCUCCAAUCUGAAAAUUAUGAAAUUAUGAACCUGGCCUGUUUCAAAUCAAGAUCCUGGCUUCAAAUCCUUAGGAAGCAGAUCAUUUCUUCAUGUAAGAUAGGAGCUGAUCAUUGCAUGUUAUUUUUGGCAAUUCAAGUAAAUUCUAUUAGGCAAAGCGGAUGCAAGAAAAGAGAGGAUAGAUACUUGUGUCCACACGGACUUCCAACUCGUUCAAUUCUUGCAAAGUAGCGCCGAACAACUGGGGCAGAAACAUAGGGAUGUGGUAAAACCUGGACACUCUACGAAUCAACUGCGUUGAAGGCGUGAAUAUGAAAAGUAAUCUAGAUUAUAUGUUCUCGAGUUGGACCUCUUCAUGGCAAAAGUAUAAGAAUCAGGUGUGGGUUGUAAAAUAUGGGUUGGAGUCGCCUGUAUUUCAUUUCGAAGUAAAAAUUUGUUAAAAAUUGGAACAAAGGCAAAGAUUUGUUUUAAUACGAGGUUCCAUUUUUUCUUUGUAAUUUACACUCACUUUCAGCGUAAGUUUCAUUCUACUUUUAGGUUAUGUAUCCUUCCAAUUUUAAAAGUUCUUACAUUUCAACGACUUACUUACGCUUCGGAGCUCCUUUGACUUUUCAAUCUUGACUCCCGGGAUUUAAACAGGUUCUGUGGAACGAGCGAUGAAUUGAGUGGCAAGUAUUCCACAAGCGGUACGAUACGUAUACAAGGAGUACACGUGAUAGGGACCUUCCACUUAAACAAAAGGAAAAAAAACAUCCUAUUGAGAAAUUACCGACCUUUAUCAAGAAUUUUCAACUGCUUUCUCGACGAUUACUUUUUUUAUCUACGCCUUUAUGGCAUUUCAUAUUUGAAGAUUUCUUCAGCAGCACAACGCAAUAACUCACAGGGCGUCAGGCGAAGCAGAACAGCAGAUCCACCAUUUUAAGUGCUCUUUUAGCGUCCCGUGCAUGCGCAUUCAGGUUAGAUGUUGAUUGGAUCCAUUACAAGUAAACAGCAUAAGAAUCUGAGAAUGAGGCACCAUAGGCCUGGCAGAAUCAGCAGUAUUGCCAUGUAAUUGGAAUUCUUUUGGAACACUGGAUCAGGAUUUCUACAACGUUUAUGAAUAAUGGUAGGAUUAUAUACCCAGAGACUGGCACUAUCUACUUGCGACUUAGCUUAGCUUAAUCCAGAACCUGCGAAUGAGAUGGUGCAGGCGUUUAAAACUGUUUUCUAUAAUUAAAUCUGCUCGCUUCAGAGCUGUCCCAAAAUGCAAUCACCUUAGAUUUAUACUACCAGAUGAUCUCCAGCUCAGUCAGCAUUGAUCUUGAUGCCACGUAAUGAAUUUGAAACCCCAUUUUGAUUCCCAAGCCUCUGGAACUCUGUCUCUAUAGUUUGAGCAAUCUUGGCACCCUCUGGAUCUGGCUCCGGGAAAUCCACAUGGAAUGAACCCUGUUUGAUGAGUGCAUCAGCCUCUAGGAGCUUAGCUUGCUCCUUUGUGUAGUUGUACAGCUGUUCAUGGAAACUAUGGUCCAAGGAGAAACAGUCAUCAUAUGUUCCAUUUCUAGAAUACCGAGAUGAGCUAGAGCCUUCCUUUUUACAAAAAUGUGGGAGAGAUGCAUAAUCCAUAAUCUGCAAGUGAGUAAUGAAUGAGUUAGCAUUCUAUUAACCAAACAAGACAUGCGAAACAUUUGCAAUUAGUUUGAGUACCUAAUCCACCCGCCACCCAGGUGAUCAAGCCAUCACUUAGACCUAUAGUGAAGUGUGUGUGUGUGUGCCUUUUUGAGAAACACGCAGAAUGAGGGAGAGCACCCGAUCAACAAACUCAGGAACUUGAACCGUAGUAAACAAGAGGCGAUCUCUUAAACAUUCUAAGAGCCAUCUACACACAACUUUUCUUAUUUAUACAAGUGUUGACAGAAUUUGAUAUGCAACUUUUGCUUUUCAAGUGUCUGUCCAAGUGGAUAUAGAUGCAAAUGAUAUCUAUGGCGUCAGGUAUUCAUCUUCAGCAACACCAUAUUAUGUUCACUUCGUUUGGACUAUCUCUUAGGCCAAAUUGAAAAGGGACCAUUCUUAGUGAAAUUGAUUAAUAAUCAGUAGCAUGAGUGAAAAUUCAAGACAAAAUGGAAAGCAUAAGAUUGGUUGUUGCAAAGAUCAACUUUAAGUCUGGUUGAGGAAACUCCUAAGCUAGUUGCAAAAACAGUCAAACCAUAAAAGCAAAGACUGCUUUGGACAAUCGCUAAUAUCAGUAUAAAGCAACAUUAUUCUCAAGAUGAACUUUACCAUCCAAUGGCUGCCUCACCUUCAAUAACUCAUCUCUUCCACUCCCUGAGAGCACUUGAACUUUCUUCCUUGUUCUUUCUUGCAAAAGAGGUCUCACUACCUGUAAACAACACAAACUUUCUUAAGAAACAUUACCAUGCAAGCAUUCAGUUAUCCUUUCUCCUCCAUGUUUUCUGACAUCGUUUUUAUACACAUUAACAAGUAUAAAUAUACACAUGCUCACCUUCCAACACGCUGAAAAUAUGUAUGGGGCAUUUACAAUGAAAUAAGUGUCUGUCUUCUCUGGGUAAUUCUGGUCAUCUAUUGUAGAUAGAACAGUCGUUAUCUGCCAAAACAAAAAACACAAAUACAGAUCAGUCCCAAGAAGGAAUUUCAGAAUUGAGUUAUUAUCUCUCCCAUUAAAAAGAUAAAAAGACAAAACAAUGCAUGCAUCAAUGUCUUGAAAUUAAGAAAAUGAAAAGAAAGUUACAGUCAACAUUAUAGUGGUAGAAGGUUACAAAAUACCACAAGUUACUAAAAGUUCAGCAAUCUUCAUGAAGUAUAAGCUACAUUAGUUCAUGACUUGCACUUAAACAAAGUUAAAAACAAAAGUACUGAUUACUGCCAGAAGAUACUGGAUCUAGGGUGACGAACUUUGCUGGUAAAGAAUUGUAUUUAAAAAGAAGUCAAAUAGAGGUUCUAAAAUCCAUAACUCUUUAUUUUGGAGGGGGGGAGUUGGGGGUGAGGGGGAGAACGGGGUGGGAAAGCGUUUUGACCAGGCAAAGGAAGCUAAUUCAUCACUGAUUCCUACAGAUAACAACAGAACACUUCUGCUCUGAACACAAAAAUCAAUCAUCUGAAAUACCUUGAUGUGGUUCAAUGCAGAAAGCUUCAAACCAGUCAUGUCCAAGACCUUUAUACAAGUGCUGAUAUGUCGCCCAAAUUUCUUUGUUGCAGAAGGCUAUAACACUAUAAGUGGUUAGUUUGAUAGAUAAUCACCAGAUAAGUUAUGAGUAAAUUUCAUAUACAUUGACAGUGUAUACACUAUCAGCAUUGGAUCCAUGACAUGUGCAAAAGUUGGAUUUUAAAUUCAAAUUUUACAUAGUCAUCAUUCGUCCAAGGCUGACAUUGUAUACACUGUUAGCGUAGGAAAGACUAAUCCAUCAGUUAUAUGUAGAGAACAAAACAUACCAAUAUCACACGGUCUCUAUAUUCAUUCAUUUGGAUGUGAGACUGAAUAUAGUAGUGAAUCUGUACAAGGAACAGUUCUACUUAGCAAGUUCACUUGCAGAUAAUACCACAGUACACAGUUGUUAAUCAAGAUAAAACUAUGGUAUCUUACAGAUGCUUUGUCAAACAUGCUGAGCCCCACACCAAUAGCAAUGACAGGAAGACCCUAAACAUUUAAAAAGCAACAAGAAAACCAUGAGCAGAGAGUCAACUAAAACAUCACUGUUGGAACACUAAAAGCAGUCACUAUUUGUUGAAAAUGAGCUAAGGGAAAAGUGAUCUAACGCAAUAGAUAUACAGUUGAUAAACAUCAUUAUAAAACAGCAAUACAUGAAAAUAAUCAGGAUAAGCAUACAUCAUGUUACCUCCUUUGAGUAUCCUGACAUUCCCAUAAGAUAGGAAUCUCUCAGUCCUCUGUACAAAUCAGUGGGGAUAAUAGGUUUCUGCAGAGAACAUAUAAUAUUAUUAGGAAGGACGAACUUCAUCUGCCAACUUCCAAUUCAAUCUUUGAUUCAUUUAACAUCCUAAAGCCCCUAAAAGUGUAAUGCAAUUGCAAUACCUGCAACUAUAAUAGUUUAAGAAAUUUUGGAAGUUGAAAUUCAUGCUAGUCUUAAUGGGGCAAUAUCUUCAAUGAGUAGGCUAAGCAUAGGAGAUUCUAAGCUUUUUUUAGCAUAAAAGACAAUUAACUCCAUAUGUCGUCUGCAAUACCGUAACACUGAAUCACAGCCAGAAAUGGAAAAAUAACUACACUUGUCCUCCAUGAAAUGACAAACACUAAAAGGAGGCAUCAUAACCACAUCAACAACAUAUGUUGAUCUGUUUGUACAGCAUGUUAUAUCUUCCAAAAAAUGAUUAUUUUUUAUACUAUUGCACUUCAUCUUAAAACCUUAAAAGGUGUAUACACAGAAAAUUCAUGCAUUUAAGCAGACUGAACGCAAAUCAAUCAUCGAUCCAAUCAAUAUUAAUAAAAUUAUCAGAGGCAACAAUAUUACAUCACUACAACUUGGAAAAUGAGUAAAUUUUGACAUGAUGAUCAAACUCACCGUCAAUAUAUCAUCAAUUUCAUUUUGGAUCCUCCAGUUUAAACUGUCAACAAGCUGCCAAAAACAAAAAAAAAAAAAUUGAGAAAAGAUGACAACUACAAAUAUCAUGGCAAAUGCAACGAUUUAUUUCAAAAUUCUACUCAAAUUAAAUCAAACCAUUUUAUGAGCUUUGGAGACAUUCCCAUCCCUUGCUUUUAGAAACCUGAUGAGGGUCCCAGAUGGGUAUCCUUGAUGCACAUUCUGCAGUCAAGGUAAAAAAACAUUAGAUAAUUAUUAUAAAUUUUCUGCACAGAGACUUAUACUAACCAUUCCUGGUUAAACUCAAUAAUCUAAGAAAUUCACUCAUGCAGAGACCAUACCAAGAUAUUUCAAUUUAACUUCCUAUUUGUUUACUUGAUCUGUGCCCUAAUGCAUGAUGUCACGAAACCCUUACUGGUGCUUGCUUCAUUUCAGGAAAAUUCAAUCUUGAUUGCAAACAUACCCAAGCAACAAACUAAAAGCUUCAAGCAAUCAACAACAGCAUUGAGUUGCAUUGCUGCAUCAUAACCGAUAAUGGAUGACAUAAAAGGGAGUUUUGACUUGGCAUUGACCAUCACAGAGACCAAAAAUUCACCAGCAACAGGAAUUAAUAAAUAUACACGGAAACAAAACCCCAAAAAAAAAUAAAAAGGGGCAAAAACAAGGAACAAAAAUUUCCAGCAAAAACCCAGAUCAAGUUUGCUCUUUUACAACAGAUCAAUCACACUUUUCACACUUUCAAGUGUACAACCAUACAAAAAAAUUACGAAUGGGCUAAAGGGCUAACCUGAAAAGUCUUCUUGAGCGGCUCAGCAACUGCAAAAUAGGCGAAAAAGAAAGUGUAAACAACAGAUCCAGGGAAGAAAGACUAUCAAGUCAAUGAAAUAUGGGGUGUAAAAAUUGUAAAGGAGCUGACUUUCUUCCAUCAGAGUUUGAAAUUCCUUGAUACUUUCUUCAGUGAUGAACACCAUUUUCUGCUUUUCUGGUAAUCUUGCACUUCAAAAAAUUUAAUGAGUAGAUUCAGACUUUUGUUUUGAAUUUUCUGGCCUUUCUCCUUGCUAGCCUUGUAUAGUAUCCUUAAUUUGUAUUUUGCGCAAUAACUUUUUUUGUGGGUAAUUUUCUAGAGGUGAGGUAUUGGUUUCAGACAAUUAAUGUCUGUGGUGAAUUGUUGUGGCCCUUGUGGAAGUACGAGCCUGCCUCUGCCUUCUCUGCUCAUUUCUAUACAGCUUUUUAAUGCUGUUGGCAUUAAAGUAUGAUGCAUGAAUUGAAAUUUACACAAAAUUUUGUAGUAUUCUUCUUUAAUUCUCUUUUUUUUUUUGGCUUGACUUGCAAUACCGGUCAACUAUUUUGAGCAGUACGACAGAUUUGACUAAUUUAUGCAGCAAAUUUGUUGUUAUCACCCAAAAAAUAUGUGCUUGAUUAUGUCAAUUUAUUUCAGCACUAAGUUUCUUAUUUGGUUUUUUUUUUUAUUGUUUAGGACACUAAGGUAUGUUUGAUGAAAUUGAAAUAUAAAUCUGAAAUAUAAAUUCGUUAAGUGAUUGAAUUAUUAAGGAAUAAAUAUGAUAUAUUUGAGUAUAUGACACAUCACAUUAAAUAAUAAGUGCAAAGUCAUACAUUUGAUAAAUGAAUAGUGAAUAGUUUAUCAUUUAUUAUUUUGGAAGUUUUAUUCAAAAAAAUUCAAUGUCACUUAAUUAAUUAAAAAUAAGUUUAUAUAUUUUAUUGUUAUUAUGAAAUGUUUUAUUAAGAUUUGAAUAUGAGAAAUUUAAAAGAUGAAUUAGGUCAUGAAAUAGAACCUAAAUAAGCACACAUAAAAGUGCUCGAUGAGAACUAAACUACCAUUGAACCAGACGGGUACGCUCUGCACCCCUAUGAAUUUUUUAAGAAACCACAUAUUGCGACAACUGAUGGAAGACAAUAUUUAAACUCUUGACCUCCUACGCCACCAAACCUUAUAGGCUUUGUGGUGGGCAAGGUUUAGUGUGCUCAUUAUUAGAUCAUUAAAGUUACCACCAACCCCUAAAUCAUAAUAUCCUUCUGGGAAAAAAAGAUAAAAUAUUAAUUUAUUUUUUGUUAUUUAUACUUCCACCGUUUUUUUAAUCAAAUAGUCUAAUAAAUAAAAUCUAUAUGAUUGGAAUGACAAAGAAAGUGUAAUUAACAAAAAUGGAAGUGCAAAUAAUAUUUCUCAAAGAAAAAAGGAAAAAAUUUAAUAAUAACACCGGACUCACUUCUGCAUAGAGGAACUCCUUUUAUUUUUAUGCUUCUAUAGGUACUUUGAUAAGUAAAUCCGAAAACGUAAUAAAAAAAAAAGAUAUGAUUUGCUGCAUCUAAGAUAUAAAAGGUAUGAUUGAUCAAAUUUGUAACCCCAAAUUUCGAGAGGGUAUAAAUUCUUUGCAGUGUAUAAUAUGAUCACGGAUUUGAUGCAAAAAAAGAAAUAAAUGAAGGUAUGGUGGAGAUAUGAAAAUUUUCUUCUAAAAUAGGAGCAAAAGUACAAGCCACUUAUAAAGGCGUCUACCGUAUAAUAAGGUAUGUCGUAUUUAGCAAUGUGGCUCAUACGAAGAAUGAAGUUGUGACGAUUGUCGGUGAUGCCUACAAAUGAUGCGGCUGAUUACGGCCAAAUAUAAAUGAAAUGCAGAAAAAAAUAAAGAAAUAGGAAUACACAAAGCGGUGCAUUUACUUUUAGGGCCUAGUUUUUUUUUUCCCUGCUUGUGAGAGUUGACGAUAAAUAGGUUUGACAUUAUUUAAAUAAUUCGACUAAAUCAUGGCCUCAACCAACUUUAGGGCUAAUUCGAUUAAGACAUUAUAUAUUAUUAGUUUAGGACGUACAGGUUGCUAAAAUGUCACACUCAAGGGCUGGCUAUCAUCCAUCAGUAUAUGCAAAGUUUGCAUAUAAAAUUAGGAUUAAUCUUCUGUACACUGAUAAUAUAUAUACUUUCACCAUUAGAUACAUGGCGCAUAAUUCGAAUUUGAAUUUAAAAAUCAAAUUUUGUCUAUAUGUUGUAUAUUCAAUCGUGAAUCUUAUUUGAAUUACACGAACCUCCUAUUAUUAUUUUGAAACGAAUAAACGAGAAAAUAUUUACAGAUUUUAAAAAUAUUCUUAUUAUACAAAAAAUAGGAUAUUAAAUUUAAGUAUGAGAAUGUAUAGCUUGAUUUAUCAAAUUUCUUUUUCUCUUUCCGUUUCUUAAAUCUUAAAUCUUACUCUUAGAGUGAAGUCUGAUUUUCAGUCUAAUUUUCAAGCAUGAAAAAUCUCGAGAGAGAGGUCAAGCCAAACUAUAGGCGACACCUUUUAUUGGGUUUGUUUGGAUAGAUUAUUAUUUAAAAUAAUUAUUUUAGUAUUUUUUGUGAUGUGAUAUAUUUGAGAUAAAAAAAUUAUUAAAAAUAUGAAAAGGUGGUUGCGCUACAGCUACUGUAACGCGCUUCCUGCCCUUUUCGCUGUCAGCGCACUGACCUUUUCCGUUUCUGCUCGGUAGAACGGAGAAUAUACGACAGACUUUUAUACGUAAUAAUUAUAUUGACUAGCGUUCAAAGAACAGAAUAAUUUGACAAAGCUCUGAGAUGGUUGGGCCAAAUUGCCCCUGUGAACUGGCUCUUGUUUUCAGGAAUAAAAGUCGAGUAAACCUUGAAAUGUUUUGAAAUUGCUCUCGAGAGUCUGCUUUUGAAAUGUUUCCCUUUUUCCUGCUUCACCAGUUUAUACCAUUUCAAUUCAAAGUUGUCAUGCUAAAGCCAUUGAAUUGUAAAGUGUGGUAAACGAGGUGUAGGGAAAAGAAAAGGAUAAAACUAAUAAGAGAGAAUUAGCAAUUUAAUAUCCUUCUUUGAGAAAGCUAGUAAUACAAGUGCCGCCUAGGGGUCGAUUUUUAAAUGGUGAAGUUUGAAGUUUCUUAUAGUUUUUUUUAUUUUUCCAAUUUGGAGGGGAAGCUACUUGGCAACAGUUUCCCCUAUAUUUUUUCUGCCAUUCCUUACAUGGUUGGCGCUCACCAAGAAGGAGUCAGGUGUUAAAAUUUUUUUUUUUUUAAAAACGUAACUAAUUUGAAAAAAAAAAUCUAUAAUCACGUGUGUUCCAUUAAAAAAAAAAAUCAUUUCUCGUAGUCAAAUAAGUGGGAAUCUAUAUAUAUAUAUUAAUAAUUAUUAUCAUCUGUUGUAUUUAUAUACUUGCCCUGUUUAAUCUUACUUACCUUGCCUUUUCUUGUAUUUAUUUACUUUCUUUAAUCCAUUUUACAUUUCUAAAAAUAUAACAUCUCAUAUAAUAUUUUAAUAGAACACCCUUGAAACAGAUCGUAAAAACAAAAAAGCAGUUGCACCAAAAAAAAAAUAAAAUUCCCUCAAUCAAAAUAUACGUGCGGGACCUUUUCCACCAAAAUAUGCACAUGUCCAUGUGACCACAUAUGCCAUCAUUCACAAACAGCCAACUUCAUAUGUUGGUAAAGGCCACCUAACCACUAUGAUUAUUCCUACUAAUUCAAUCAAGACUUUUUUCUUUUAAUACUAGUAUAUGUCGGAGGUUCGAACUUCAAACCUCACGCUUACACUCUCGUCUAGUGGGUUUUGUCCUUGAGAUUCACAUUCAAAAAUUGCCAAUCUCGUCAAUCGAUCUGGGUUUGUCCUUCACUCUUUAUGGAUCGUUCGGCAACCUCUCCUUCAUUCUCUACAUAAUCAAAAGAUGAUUUUCCACCGUACCAUAGUAUCGUGUUUUCCAUCCGCUUCCAUAUUCCAUUCCAAACUCUGCCUAUCAUCAAAAAAGAAACCACAAAGGAGGAAAAAAAAAAAAAAAAACUGAAAACAGAGAAACGUAAGUGCAUGCUGCAGCAUUUUGACUUGUCUCAUUCAAUAUCAUUAUCGGAAUUGAUGCCAUCUUUUAUUUUCGCUGCAUUUCGCUUUUCCACAGAAAGACGGCACCCCUUGAGUCUCUUGCCACUCAUCCAUCGAUCGAUGCUUCCGAUCGUAUUGUUGGAUUCUUUAAGCAUUGAGCUAAAAACAAGAAAAAGGAAAAGAAUCUCACUCUUUCAAAUUCUCAAGUAUUGAUGGUGCUUUAUCUUGGUCGAUGGACCUCUGACCAUUGCUUCUUUUGGAGUACACAUGAAAAAAUUCAACUAACGUAAUUGACCCGAACGAACAAACAAACAGAGCAGUCGUAAAAUAUUCAGAAGGAACGUGCAUGCAUGGUAAACUGUUCGAACAUAAUGCCAAUCUCUUCAGAAUAUGAAUCAAUGUACGUGGAAGCUCGCACGAAGCAGCCAGCUAAUCCAAUGUAGUAAUAGCGUGCAGGAGUCAAAAACUUAUGAAUCCACUUUAGAAUCUAAGCAUCCACAAUUACGCAUGCUCCUGUCCUGUCUUUUGCUUUUCAGGCCCGACUACGUACUGUGGUCUGUAACCUUAUCAUAUCCAAUGGUUAUGUUUCAUGCGAUAAUUUUUAUGAAAAUAGGGAAAAAAUUUGGACGCGCGGUUGAUGUUGGCAAUUAAACAUUUUUCACAUCAAGUACCAAAAUCAGAUAAAACUACAUCCUAAGCCAGUCCUUCUCCCUUCUUUUCUUUUUUUUUUUUUUUUGUUUUGAAGGUGAGCUAAUCCUUCUCCUUUUGAACCAUAUAUGUUCCUUUUUCAGCAUUAAAAAAGAAAAAUUUCUCCUGCAUCAAGCCUGGCCAUAUGGGAAAGAUUUGCUACCAAGAUCAACUAGGUUCAAUUUUUAUCUCUCUCGUUGCCGUUUGUGAAAAGAUGAAUUUCCAUGGACGUGAGUGAGGACCAUAUCUGUAGCUUAAUGCAAAGACCAUGCUGGACAGUUUGUGGUUGAUAAUUGUGCUUGGGACAAAAGAGAAGUCACAAAACAACGAACAUCCGAGCAGCCCAAUAUUUGCUCCCCACUUAAAUAUGUUACUGAAUUUUUGGUAAGUAAAAAGCCAAUAAAUAAUGCAAAUCUUUCCAUUUGAGGACAUGGAAGAUGACAGCCGAAAGAAAUAGAAGCGCAGCAAGGAGGAGGUGGAGGAAGGAAAUGCAAGGACCACAAUUCCACCAGCACUAAAUGUUACUACCACAUUGGAUUAUUGAAGAGAUUGAGAGACUUUCUCCAGCUCUAUUCUAUAUUAUGUCCUACGCGUAUGUCUGUCGUUGUAUAUGUGAAUUAUCUGUCCGUCCGGCUCUCUCAUAAGUCAUAAUAUAAACUUUAGAAAAGAAUGAGAACGAUAUGUCGACCAAUGAAUGGAAAGGAGGAUACCCCAAAUUUCAUCAUGACUACAAGGAGUACUAAAUAUAAAGUGGUAAAGAACAUUUUAAGUGUGGACUAUAGUCUUUAUAUGUGGAGGCUGCAUCUUAUCAUCAUCCCAACCAGCAUUUUUGUACUGGAAUAUGCUAUUGGCAUCCUCGAGAAUUUAGCCCAGUAGUUAAUACUGAAAUUUCAGAAGUUGGAAGUUUUGUUUUGAACCCAAAUUUCCUUUUCUUUUUUUGCUUCUUAAAUUUUAUCCGUCAUUUCUUUAAGUGAAAGAAAAAAAAAAAAAAAGGAAAAGGAUUGUCGAGAAUGGCACGUCAUCUUCCAUGGCUGAUUACAAUCGCUGCUAAGGGGCUCUUUCAAAAAUUGAGCAGAAUGGUGUGUGAUAUUUAUGUCCUUUUUCAAAACAUGCGGGGAUAGCUCAGUUGGGAGAGCGUCAGACUGAAGAUCUGAAGGUUGCGUGUUCGAUCCACGCUCACCGCAUUUUACCUUUUUUCCCCCUGGGUAGUGGUAUUUUGUCCCCUUGCAAAAGGACACAUUUAUUCGAAUUCUAUAAUGGGAACUUCUGCCUUCAGCCAAGGUUACCACCACCCUUCGGCCUACAUCCAACUUGGUAAAAAUUGGGCGAGUAAAAGUACAUGCUUCAGUAACUCGAAAUUGCAGUUAAAUGACUCUUGAUUGGGAUCGCUUCAUGGCCCACAAGCAUUUUUACAAACAAGGGAAGGAGCAUCCCCAAGAAAGAAGGGUAGGAGUGCCUGAAAAUGGAGAUGAUGUUCGCUUCUGACAAAUACGUUGGUGUACGUGUUGUUGCUCCAUGAAGGCUCACAUCAUUAAAAAGAGAUUUUUAAGUGUCAAAAUUCACAUUAUGGACUGAUAAGCGUUAAAACACUUUUCAGUAUUUGCAAUACAACAAAUGGAACUGUUCUUUAACAACAUCAAGCAAUAAUAUGAUCAACAACUUCUCCAACAUAAGAGAACCCUGACUUCCAACAGCUUUGCUAUGUCCAGGUAGGUGCUACGUAUUUCCCUUGGCGGAAACAAAUAGCCAACCAGCUUUGAAAGCCAUUAAAAGAAAUCAAAUUCGAGGUAAUUAUCAGAAUUUUGCUGAAAGGGCAUAGCUCC
This 56968-nucleotide long non-coding RNA is filed under the name Coffea arabica (coffee). RNAcentral's name for it is "long non-coding RNA (CARA_LNC003919)". The stretch from base 56257 to 56329 matches the Rfam family "tRNA". The record is from RNAcentral. Lineage: Eukaryota; Viridiplantae; Streptophyta; Magnoliopsida; Gentianales; Rubiaceae.